AGAGACGAACAUUCUCGGUUGGUCGUUUAUGCUUCUGCAGAAAAUCUUGUUAGAUGUAUUCUAAUGCUAUUUAAAAUAUUUUUUGAUUAAGGGUUGGGAUUCCGUACUUGUAAAUUGUUGACACUUGAUUGGAAAUGUACGAAUAUUAUAAAUUGUAUUAUAUCGUAUAUAUAUUAAAGUGUUGGCUACUUUUUUCUAUAUGAGUGUCAAUAUUAUAAAUUCAAAAUUGUCAUUCUCAGCUACAUUAUUGUCAUUCAAAUGAUUCGUGUAGUGGUGGAGCGACAAGGAGAACCGGAAAAAACUGUAGUAAAUUGAGAAAUUUGCAACAUAAAAUAAAUGAUUAAUUGUUGUCAAUCCGAAAACGAUGACAGUUGUUUAAUCAAAUAAAUUGUCACGAUUACCCUAUAUGUGACAAAAAAAAAUGUCGUCAAUAGCAAAACAAUGACAUUUUUAUACAAAAAAAACUGUCGCGAUUAACAUAUUCAUGACAAUUAAAAAAUGUCACAAUAAAUGAAUUCGCACAUUUAUUUAACCGUCGUUAAUACACAAAUGAUGAUAGUUAUUUGUUGUCAUAAAAUAAAAUAUGACAAUUAUUUGACGUCGUUGAAUUCUGAUUAACGACAUUUAUUUCAUGUCAUAAAAUAACUUAUUUCCAUGACUCCCGCUUCUAUGACUGAAAAUAACUGUCGGGAAUUUCGUUUACGACAGUAAAUAACUGUCGUCGUAGACCACUUUUGUACUAGUGUUGUUGUAUGUAGAUCUCUUCAUCUAACUCAUGGUUUAAAAAUUCCAUCUUGACAUCCAUCUGAUGUAUCUCAAAUCUAUGUAAAGUUGAUAUUGCUACGAGGUUGCGAAUUGAAUUAAUUCGAGUAACUGGUGAGUAGGUAUCAAAAUAGUCAAGUCCUUCUAGUUGCUUGUAACCUUUGGCUACAGGUCUUGCCUUAUAUUUAUCUAUUGACUCAUCGAUCUUCAUUUUUUGUUUGAAAUUCCAUUUGCAACCAAGUGGUUUACUUCCUAAUGGAAGAUCAACUAGCUCCCAACUAUGGUUAUGGAUUAUGGACUCAAAUAUGGAGCUUUAGGAGAGGACAUGGUCUCUUUAAAUGUUUGAGGUUCGUUUUCUAAUAAAUAAGUUAAAAAAUUAGGCCCAAAUGAUUUUGAGAUCCUCAACCUUUUACUUCGUCUAAGUUCUUCAUCCUUCAUUAACUCAACAUUUGAUCUAUUAUGAUAUUCACUUGUUAUAGCAUCAAACAAACGUUUUUUUAAUCUUGCUUCGCAAGACAUUUUAUGAGGAAAAACAUUCUCAAAGAAUGUUGGAUUCCUUGAUUCUACGAUUGUAUUAACAUGUAUAUAUGAAAUAUCUUAUUUAUGAACUAUAAAUCGAUAUGCACAACUAUUACUAGCAUAACCAAUGAAUAUGUAAUCAACAGUUUUUUGUCAUAUUUUAAUCAUUUUAGGUUUAUCUAGGCACAACAACCUUUGCUAGGCACCCCUACACUUUUAAGAAUUCGUAUGAAGGGUGUCUUAUCCUUUCCAUUUUUCAUAAGAAUAUUCUAUGACUUCUUAUGAGGUAUUCUAUUUAAUAAAUAAUUUGCUGUCAAUAAAGCUUCUCCCAACAAAUUUUGGGGUAAACCUGAAAAUGUAAGCAUUGUGUUCAUCAUUUCCUUAAGUGUUUGGUUUUUUGAUCAGCAAUUCCAUUGGAUUAAGGUGAGUAAAGAGUAGUAGCUUGGUGAAUAAUGCCAUGUUCGGAACAAAAUUGUUCAAAAGGAGCACCAUAUUCACCACCUCAAUCACUUCUUACUACUUCAAUUUUUAUGCUAAGUUGAUUUUCAACCUCUUUUUUAUAAAGCUUAAACAUUUCAAUUGCCUCAUCUUUGCUUUUGAGCAGAUAAGCGUAACAUUAUCUUGUGCAAUUAUCUAUAAAAGUAAUAAAAUAUUUUUUUCUAUCUCUAGUUUGCACAAAUUUCACAAAUAUCCCUGUAAAUUAACUCUAAAGUUUUGGUAAUUCUCUAUCAGUUGAAUGAAAAUGUGUUUUAGUCAUUUUUUUAUUCCACACACACCUCACAUUUAUGAUUUGUCUCAAAAGUUAAUUUUGGAAUCAAAUUCAUAUUAAUUAGCCUUCGCAAAGAAUACAAAUUGACAUGUACUAGUCAGCCAUGCCAAACAAAUGACUCAACAUUAUAAGCAAAAAUAUAUAUAUUAUCAUUAAUAAUACUUUUGGGUACAGCUGUGAGUACAUUUAAUUUAAAAAGACCAUCACUCAAAUAACCCUUUCUUUUAAGUGUAGCACUCCAUAUAGAAGAUCAAUGAACGAAACCUUGUGAAUCUACUGAACUUCAAGAUUGUGGAUAUUGAGAGAAAUUCGCUUAUAGAAGACACAUGAUUAUUAAUAUGAAUCUUCACUCAACCAAAAGGACUUAUUUAUAGACUUAUUUGUGGCCAUUUGAAAAGUCAAGUUCUUUAGUUAUUAACACUUUUCAUGAAAUGAUGUAUCCACCUAUGAUGCAUCCAUUCGAAGAUCACAAAUAAUAACCAUUUAUUCCAACACGAUGUUCUACCAAAAACAGAUGUAUUUGCUUUGUGUUCGAAAGAACCAAAAACAUUUUUAAAAAACUCACAUUUUAAAAACCAAAAACCAAAUACAAGAUGUUGGAAAUGAGAUAAAAAUUAAUUAAUAUUUUCAAGUGUAAAUUAACACUCGUUAAAAAAAUACAAAAUUAUUUCAAGAUUUUUUGAAUUGUUUCCAAACUUUCUCAAACCAAACAAUUAUGGUGUUUGGAAUAAUAUGAGAAUACAAUAAGGCCAUAUGGGCAAUCGAAGUCUAAACCUUCUACCUAAUCAUUUCCCAGUAAUUAUAAAAAACUUGUUCGCCAGCAGCAUUAUUCAAAUAAACUCCAUCUUGUCUUGCACUCCAAAUACAAGUUUGGUUUCCACAAUAAUUGGUCACAAAAUCAGGAGCACUUUUAAAACUAUCAAAUUCCAAAUACCCUACUUCCCAUUCCAAUCUACAAUGAAAACUGGUCGUGGCAAUCCAAUUCCCUUUAAACGACCAAUCUUGUUUUUCGUCUGGAAACAAUAUAUGCAAUCCCAAAUCGUCAUCUUUCGAGUAGCAAUGGCUGUCUAAAAUGAACAUACGCAAGUCGUUGUGAAUCUCGACAGUAAAACGUUCAAACAUGACGACAGGAUUGUUUGGAACCGAUAACUUUGGUGUCGGAGAUUUGUUUUUUGCCUUUUUUUUGGCCAUGGACGUUCUUAAGGGGGCUAGGAGCAAGAUAACUAACAAUAAGGUAAGUCGCAGUGCCAUUGUUAAAUUUAUGUUUACCGAUGGAUAUUAUUUGUUUAUUUUAUAGUGUAUCUGUGAACGUUUUGAAAUAGAGGGAAUUUUACAUUAGUGGUUGCUUGAGAAGCAAUGUUAAAAAUAGUAGGGGAAGGUUAAAAAUAGAAAUUUCUUGACUUCGUCAGGUGUCUUUUUCUUUUCCUUUCUAUUUCUUUCUUUCUUUCUAUUUUGUUUAUUAUUAUGAUUAUUAUAGUUUGUUUUCAAAGGGAUGGCAUUUAAGAGAUGAGCUUAAUCAGAGUAAUAAGUGUUUGCAUAACCGUGUGUUUUGGGUUGGAUUUUUUGAAGUUUAUUUUCAACAAUUUUCUUUUAUAAAAAAGAAUUUGAACAUAAAUUAUUUUAAACACUUUUUUCUGAUCAAUUCAAAUACACCUUAACUUACAUAUAUGUAUGAUCAAAUGUUUCAACUUUUGAAUACUUACAAAAGAAAAAAUGUAACAGGUAGCAAAUUAAAUAUGGACAAUACGAAAUCUUUGAAUAGUUUCUUGAUUUUGCAAUUAGAAUUUCUAAUUAUUUUUAUUACAUACAAAUCCUUAAACAAUUAAUUGAUAGAGAGAGAAGCACCGACUGGUCGACAGAGGUAAGCAAGGGAAAGAUGGAAGGAUGAUCGGCGACAAUAUGGUUUGGUGGUGGUGAAAGAGAAAUGUUGAAGGAAAUAAAGAUAGAGAGAGAAAGAGAAAGAGAAAAAGAACAAUCGACAAUCAGUGACAGGACGUGCGGUGUCUGAUGGAGAUAAGCAGCAAGAAGAUGGAGUGGUGGUCUACAAUCAGUGUUGGUAAAAUAUAACAAGUUUGAGCGGGAAUGAGAUCCAGUUUUCUGUUCUGCAUUCAUUCAUCAAAGUAUGCCUUAUUUAUAUACAAGUAACUCAUACAAGGAAAAAACUAACACCCACCAUAAUAGGAACAAAAUUGUAAACAAUAUACAAAAGCAACAAUAAAAGAAGAAUAAAGUAGAUCUCCUACUAACAACACACAGAGCCGUUGUAGGUGGUAAACUCAAACAUUAGAGACUUGGCGCACUUGUGAUGACCUGGAACAGGUUGACCAGGUAGGCUUCCUAAUAACCUCCUUCAAACUUGGUGGGAGUUCAAUGAGACCAAGUUUGAACUGUAAACACUGAAGUUGCGAGUGAGUAAAAGCCUUAGGGAGACAAUAACCAGUUGAUCAGAUGUAGGAAUAUAUCAAACUUCUAACGCACCUCAGAGCAUGUGAUCAUAGAUAAAAUGGACAUCAUCUAGAUAAGCUUCGUUUAGGCAUGAAAGAUAGGGUUUAAUUUUCAGCAAGAGCAUGAGUAUUCAGGUUAAAAUACCAAAGAACUAGGAGUUUGAGAAGACGGGAAGUUGAGCUUCAUCAAGACUCGUCAAAGCCAACGCGAGAAUGAAAGGUGUCGAAGGCGAAGGAAUAAGACAACGUGUUGUGAAGAAAGGCAACGUGGUACAAAAAGAUAACGUGAGAAUGGAAGCUGUCAAUAAACACUUGACCAAUUAUCAGGUGACAAGCUAGACAAGAAGGAGUUGGUGAAGUGUUAAACCUGAAUGAUUAGUUAGCUAAACAUAGGUUAAUUUUAAGUUAAGCAUGUGGUUUAAGAAAGAAUACUGAACUAUAACGAUGCAAUAGAUGUUGAAAAACGAACUAGGGCUAAGUGCAGAUCGUCCAUAAAUUAAAUAAUAAAAUCACGAAUAAACAUACCUUUAUAAUAAACUUAUCCAAAUUGAAUUGUCUUUGUUCUUGAUUAUCCAAAUUGAUUAGAACGAUCCUCCAAUUCGUAUCACCAAAACUUUAUGAAAUCACAACCGUCAUACCUUUAUAAUAAACUUAUCCAAAUUGAAUUGUCUUUGUUCUUGAUUAUCCAAAUUGAUUAGAACGAUCCUCCAAUUCGUAUCACCAAAACUUUAUGAAAUCACAACCGUCCUCUGACACUAUCCACACACGAACUAGAAAUUUGACUCCUCGAAUUCGAGUCGGCUAGAACUUCACAAAGGAAAUUUUUUUACUCUCUAUUCUCUCUCUAUGUAGAAUGAAUUUUAUGUCUUUGUUUGCAUGUAAAACAAGGCGCCUAAGUUUUUAUUUAUAGGCUUCUUAGGGUUUCGUAAGAAGCUUUAAGAUUUCUAAUAAGUUUUCAAUUCUCCAAUUGAACUUAUUAAUUACCUAGCCCAAAAAUAAAUUCGACCUAGUUCGUUUUGUGUGUGAUCCGUUAGGCUAAUUUAAUAUAACAAUGGAUUUAAUAACUUGUUUUAUGACCCAUAAAUCAUAAUUGGUCUCUAGGAAGACAUUAUGACUACCAAAAAUAAAUUAAGUCGAUGAUCCAACAUAACCUAAUAUAAUUAUUGCUUUUAAUCAUUUUAUCACGUGAUAUUUAUAAGUGAAUAUAAGGCAUGGACAAAGUCAUCUUAUCUAAUUCAAUUUUUUUCUCGAUCAAUAAGUAUAUUAAAAUAUUAAGUGAUGUGGAAAUGCAUGGUUGUUUUAUAAAUGAAUUAAUAAGAGUAUUAAUGUCAUUUAUAGAACAACCAUGCAUUUCCACAAUCACGCUUAAUCGAGGAGGUCAAAGAUAUCUCUCCAUAACAAGAUGGAUAAAGUCCAUAUUGAUUAAUCAUUGUCUUAUUUAUUGAAAUUCUUUAACUUAUUGAUCACAAAAUUGAGCCACUGAAAAAAGAAGUUGCACUUAGGUAAGUGUUGACAUUCAAUUGUUUUAAGCCUUUCUUAACCAUAUUUUUAUUUCUUCAGGAUCUUUCUCACAUUCAAAUGUGAUAUCGGUUCAUUUACGCCUCCUCCUAAACUCGAGGAGUUGGACAUUAUUUUUUGAGUUGUUUGUGUGAUUGUUCCAUGAGUUGUUUCAGCUAACUGUCCUUUAUUCAGCAGUUGUUAAGGGAAGUUACAAUUUUCUUGCACAAUAUUUCCUUCCUUGUUAACUUAUUUUGCAAAUUUAGAUCGCUGAGAUCUUUUCCUUUUUCAAUGCUUUGCUGAUUUAGUCCAAGGAUAUUUUCCUUUGCUCCACAAUGCUAUUUGAGCUCAAGAUGCUCUCCUUGCUAGGGUUUCACACAUAUUGAUUUAUGAGAUUGAUAAUGGAGUUUUUGACCAUGUGUUGUGUUUGCAGACAUGACCUUUUUGUUUGAGUGUGGCGACAAACUUCGAGCAUUUGUUUCUACUAAGAUUGCAUUGAAAUUGUGAACCAAUAUAAAGUUGAAUCAUUCGAGAAGUAAUUCUGAAACUCAGAGGAUUUAAGGGCACACAUUCUCAUGACAAGGAAGUUCUCGUACACUUAGAAAAGCAUAAAUUUCUCAAGUGAAGGGAGUUUCACAAGAAGAAGAAGGAACAAUAACCUCAAGUAAGAUGAAGUUUCACAUACAUAAGGGAAGGCCUAAGUCUACACUAUUAACAUCAUCAUACUUAGAUGGAGCCUAAGUACACAAAGAGAGUCAAUUCUCGCAUCUAAAAGGAGUUUAGGUGCGUAGAUGAGCUAAGCUCUAUGGUUAUCACUCUAAGAUCGUCUACAGAUAAUUAAGUGCAAUGUUGUGAUCGCUUAACUUGAUCAUAUUAAUGGAUGAUCUUUCUUUGGACAUACUACCUUCUAAACGUAGGUGUUGUAUCACUAAACUAGGUGUGAGUCACUAGUGCAGCAGGAAUUUGCUGAUCAGCUUGACCCUCAGCAGGUUGAUUACGACCUGCUCCUCUACCUCGACCUCUACGACCUCCUCUACGAACACCCCUCUUUAGCGGCAUAAUUCCUAUUAUCCACCAAUAACUCUCUUUUAGUAGUUUUAAACAAAAGAGUACUUCAUACAAUAUAGUUUAACUUAGGUAAAGUCAUGCAAAUAAACCAUACAUAUAAGCAUAAAGCAUACCUGACGAGAGACGAAGGGUCGCGUUAGCCAUAGAGACACAAAACAUAGACUUGCAUCACAAGUUAGUCUACAGAGCCUAAAACUUAGGCUCUGAUACCAACUGUAACGACCCAAAAAAAUACAAUCGAGGAAAAAAAAUUUAAGUCGGGCUCGAUUUCAAAUAUUCAAAACUUUAAAAGUACUGUUUACAAAAAAAAAGUAGUUCGUAAGCUCAGUUACAUCACAAUGUUUUAAACAUCAAAAACAUAAAGCGGAAGCAAAAAUGACAUAUUCCCUAUGGUAGUCACGCUUCCUUCCUGUCCCUCGUCAGUUUGUCACCCUUGUUACUUUUGCCUGAAAAAUUAAACGUAAAAGGGUGAGUAUAAACAUACUCAGUAAGAAACCCGCUACUGGCCCCGUUAGGGGAAAAAUAAACUGUUAACGUCCUAUUGGGAUACCCUGCACAGUCAUAGUCUUGUGAUCCCAUAGGAUACACAUAUCAGUAUAGCGCCCCGAGGGACGUACAUUUCAGUCUAGUGUUCUGCAUAAACACAUAUCAGUCUAAUGCUCUCGAAGGAUGCAUAAUAAUUGAUGAUCCCGUAGGACACCUACAAGGCACACAUCCCAAUAAAAAGCUAACAAUUUUUCCCUCAGUCCAUUGUAAACAUCUUGACAGUCAUUUAUAACACCGUUCAACUACUUCCAUAUAUAUAGUCCUUUCACUUAACAUUCUAACAGUCAACCUAUCUCACUUUAGUCCAAAGACCGUGGGUAACAUUUUAACACACAGUCAAUCAAACUACAAGGUCAUAACACCACUCAGUUCACCAAUACGAAACCACACUUUAAUAUAACCUACACCCAAUCAUAUCAAAAUCACAAAUUUACAUCCACAUUUUUAUACAACACAUUCUACUAUUAUCGUCCUGUCUACAUCCACAUCUACAUAUAUCAUCAUGUCUACAUCCAUAUCUACAUAUAUAAUCCCAGACAAACACCAUAUGCAUUCAACAUCAAGUCUACGUCAAUUUAUGUACAUAUACAAAUUCAGUAAUUCACAGUACACAUUCAAACAUCCAUACAUAAAUAUACCGGCGGUUGAGUCCAGUAGUAGAGAAUCCCUUACUAAUACAUAAUUCGACCUUAGCGUUAUCUCAAUUAGGUAUACUCAUACAUAAGUGUUACUCAUCUUAGUUCAGUCAAUUCAAUCAAACGUAUACCACCUAUUCUUCAACAUAACAGUCAACCAUCCUCAGUUCAAUCAACAAACAUUUUUAAUUUAGUCAUUCCAUCAACACACAUAAAACUAUCUAAAGCCAUUAAGUCCCUUUAACCACAUCGAGUUACACUCAUACCCUUUAAGUUGCUCAAGUCCAUACAUAUCAGUUAAAUCGUUCUAAUCAAUGAAAUUCACAUAUGGAUCCAGUAGAAAGUCCAUUACCUUAACCUUACUUAACCUCUUUUUUCAAACUACAAUGCAACGAACGAACCUAAACACAAUAGAAUAGAAACCCAUUACUUCCACAAGCAAUUCCAUCCAUUCAAUCAUCCACUCUAAUGUAAAUUCCAAAACUUACUCAAAUUAAAUAGAGUAUUGGACUCGAAGCAACUUUGGUGAACCCAAAAAUUCAAACACUGUCCACAAUUGACACCACAAAAACCCAAUAUUCUUCGUGGCAAUGCAGAAACGUUAGUGCACCAGUCGACCCAAGCAACAGCGUGCAAGGCAGAUUAGAACGGCUGAUUUCGCGAUGAAGACCGGCACAGACGAAGGUGUGGCGACUUCGCAGAUCUGGACGACGGCUUGAUUUCAGACGGAGGCGCGACGGUUGUGGGCGGAGAGACACGACGGUUGUGGGCGGACAAGGUCGGACGGAGGCAGGGGCAAAUGGACUGUGCGGCGGCUGUAGUGGACGAACGGAGAAGAGGAGAGGAAGGGGGUGGCGACGGCUGCAACGGAAAGGAAAGAGGAAGAAGAUGGUGGGUGGCUGAUGCUAGCGCAGAAAGAAGAGAAGAGAAACGGAGGAAGAAGGAGAGAAAAAGAAGAAAAAGAAGAAAAAGAAGAAAAAGAAAAAAAAAGGGGAGGGGGUGCAGCGCGCAGGAGGAAAAAGAAGAAAAGAAAUUCAAAUUUCUUUUUCCUUUUUAUUAUAAAUAUAAGCAAUAUUUAAUAACAAUAUAUUAUUAUUAUUAUUAUUAUUAUAUUAUUAUUAACUUUUCCACUUUCACUUCUUUUCUUUCCCAUUAAAUAGAUUUCUUUUCUAAGCCAAAAGCAAUAAAGUAACACCCAACAAAAAUUAAAAGUCCUAAAAGUAGAGCAAUCUGGUUAAAAUUAAUUACAUUAGAGUUUGGGGUGUUACAAUUGGAUACCGAGAGACACUAGUCCUUAAUCACGUAAUACUACAUAACUCAUAAGUAGUCUUUUUUAGAUAUUACUCACCUAGUUAUACUUGAUCAUAUGAAUCUCUAAAAAGCAGUUAUGUAUGACAUAUAUGCCUUCGAGAGAAGCAUGCCUUAAUCAUAAGUAUGUCUUAGUGAGUUAGAUUGUAUCAUAGUUGUCUCUCUACUUAUACGAAGGGAAACAUAGGGACAUUCUUGCCUUCAUUCCUUUAAUACAAGUUAGUUGUGUUAUUGUCUUUUAAUCAAGUUAGUUACGUUAUUGUAUCUUUAUCUUCACUUUGCCUUUAGACUCUCGUCGUAUAAUUCGACAAUUCUUACAAUUGUUAUUUUUUUAUUCUUUCAACUCGCCUAAAUGAAUAGUGAAAUCUAGAACUAACAUCUAAAACAAUUCUCUGUGUUCAACCCUAGAUCACCCAAUUAAACCUACUGUUUCGCUUGCACUUGGGCAAGUAGUAGGAAAACUUGUACUCAUCGAGGACUUAGGAAUUACGUGAUGAAAAGGUACAUUGUGAGCAUUUCAUAUUCUAUGAUCAUGACCCAUGACCCAUGACCCAGAAAUAAAGCAUAUGCUAUAUAGAGAGUUACGAUGAGCGCAUCACGCGCAAUGACCAAACUCAGUGACAUAUUGCAAUUACGUUAUACACACACGAAAUUAGUGAGUCCAAAAGAACAACUAGAAAUCACAAGCAUUCUUUAACAGUAUCUACACACAAACUAGAAAUUCGCCUCCUCGAAUUAAGAUUUGCUAGAACCUCACAAAGUGAGAUAUUCGACUCUCUCUAUUAUCUCUUUGUGUAGAACAAAUUUAUGUCUUUCGCUUCUCUAUAAAAUAAAAUACCAAAGGUCUAGGUAUUAUUUAUAGGUUUCUUAGGGUCUCCUAAUAAGCUUUGGAUUUCAUAAUUAUAAGCUUAGAAUUUCCUAAUAAUAUUCAACUUCUCCAAUUGGCUUAUUAAUUACCUAACCAUGAGACAAAUUUGACCAAGUUCUUUCGUGUGCGAUCCAUUAGGUUAAUUUAAUAUGAAAAUGAGCUCAUAACUAGUUUUAUGGCCCAUAAGUCAUAAUUUGUCUCUAGUAAGACAUUAUGACUACUCAUAUUAAAUUAAGUUGAUGAUCGAACAUAACCUAAUAUAAUAAUUGCUUUAAUUCUUUUAUCACACGAUAUCUAUAAUCGAGGGGCUCAGAGAUAUCUCUCUAUAAAAAAGAGAUAAAUUCUAUCCUGAAUAAUCAUUGUCCACUACAUAAUUCAUAACGUGUAUUCGAGUACCACCUUUCUAAUUAUCCGAUUAAAGACAACGUUUGAUUGUAUCAUAAAAGUUUAAUAUAUUCUUAUGUUUGACACUAUGAUAAUCUUAGGUCUAAGAAUCAAAACAAUCAAUUAUUUGAGAUUAUUUAUGACAUAUGUUCAUGUAAUAAUCUAAAAAAUGGUCAGUGAUCCAAUUCUUGUUAUCUAAUAAGAAAAUAUGAUUAUAAUUUAUGUCUCUACAUAUAUAAUCAGCGUAUAUGAUUAUCAAAUUAUAACUCAUACUAAUCUUAAUUUAUUAUUGUUUCUACAAUAAUAGUUUAUUAGAGACAUUUAGAAUAUAAUAACAUAUUCAUGGAUAUUUAUUAUACAAUAAUAUGCAAUUGAAUAAUAAUGAGAAUAAUAACUCUUGUAGCUAUGAUAUAAAAAUAUAUAAAUAAAUAAAUAAUAUUUUUCAAAGUUCAAAGAAAAAUGAAUAUUGACAUGUUUUGAACGACGUGUGGAGAUAUUUGGUCACAUCACACAUCAAAAAGUUUUGCCAGAGUACAAUAGUUGCAACAUAUACCUUUAAUCAAAAGGUUAAAAGGUCACAUUUUCGUUGAACUUAAAAAAUAAUAAAAAAUAAAUAACACCUGAAAAAUGUUCAAGGUGGACUUAAUAAUAAAUGGAGACAAAUAAUUAAUUUAACCCAUAAACCCAAUUUGAUAAGAGCCAAACCCUCAUUACAAGGAGGGCACUCGGAGCAAUUUCCAAUGAUGAUGAAAAACAAGUUGACCAGCUUCAUUCAGCAUGUAAAGCCCAUCUUGUUUGGCUAUCCAAACGCAUAGAAAGUUGGGACAAAAUUGAUUAACGAAAUCUUCAUCAACAAAAAAUGCAUCAAAUUCCCUAAACCCUCUUUCCCAUUCCAAUCUACAAUGGAAUAAUGUUGUUCCCAUAAAGUUCCUUCUGAAUGGCCAACUUUGCCUUUCAUCUGGAAGAAGUAUUUGUAACCCUAAAUCGUUAUCUUUGGACCAACAAUGACAAUCCAUUAUAUACAUUUUCAACUCGUUGCGAAUUUCUAGGUGAAACUUCGGGAUAUAUAUAAGAGAUCUGAUUGAUUGUUGUUCUUUACUUCCGACCGUCGGUCGGAAUAUGAUAAGUAAGAGGCAUGUGAAUAAUAAUACGAUUUGAUGCAUAGGUUUAAUUUUUUCUUGAAAGAAAUAAUCUCAGCAGUAAAAUGCUACUUUGGUUUCCUCUCAAUUUCCAAAGGAUUCAAGGAUUCAAUGUUCUUGGGAGUUACGUGUAUGUGUUUAUAUAUACAAGUUUUUGAAGUGGAAAAGACUUAAAAUAGUUACGUUUGUUGAAAAAUUGAAGGGAAAUUUGAUAUCAUGAAUGAUUUUGUUUCGUUUUUUUUUUUUUUCAUAAUAUGCAUAGAGUAUAAAAAAUAGUUUGUCUAAAAAUGUAAUGGUUUGAUAUAUGUUGACUGAUUUUUGUCUUGUAGUCUUUCUAAAAAUUAGAAAAGCCAGCAUCCAUCCAGCUAUAAAAGAAAUACAAACAAUUAAAAAGGUCUUUUUUUUUUCCCAUUUUUUCAGGAUAAUAAUUAAUUAAUAGAAAAUUUGAAAGGUGUGAUUGAAGGAUAGUGAUGUAGCAUUUUCACUCUCAUCCGUAAAUGACUAAAAAAAUGAAAUUUAAGCUAUACCGAUCAAUACUACCUAUACUACUAAACAAUACAAGGAAGCAUAGGAAGCAUGAAGAUUAGUUUCUCAAAGUUAAUUGUUUAGUUAAAGUAAUAAAUGAGGGUGUUCGUGUGGUUUGAGAUUCAAGUGAAUGAAGUGCGAGAAAAAUUAAUAAAGAUAAACAUAAUUUUGAUCCUAAACUCUAAAUUCUAUUAAUGUAAUUUUGAUCAUCGAAUUAUCAAUUAUAUGAUUUAACUUCUUAGGUACCUAUGCUAGCCCAAUUGACUAGAAAAGCUAAUGAAUGGUCCUAAAUAUCAAAUUCAUCAAUUUAACUAGAUGAGAAGAUUCCUAAUCAAGUUAACUAAGUGUAUUACACUUUAGGGAUUACAUUAGGAUAAACUUCUAAUAAGAAAAGCCUAAUUACAAAUUUAAUAUGAUUGUUUUUCUUAGGUCAAUAGAACAAUGCUCUUUUUUGUCAGCCACGAACCACAAGUCUAUAUAACUCAUUACUACUUCGUGGAGAUUAACGAACAACUGUAUGUCACCUAUAUUAUACAUUAACCUAAAGCAUGAAAUUGCACAAUCAAGCAUUGGUUGUCAAUCAAUAACAAAAAAAUGUAAUUCAUAAUAAUCAACAAAUCAAGAGUAAAACCCAUAGAUAAAAAAUCUCAACCAUAUUGUCAAAGUACUCCAAAAAAAAUAUAACGGGUUUCUCCAAAAUCUUCAAAACUAGAAAGAACAAAUAUCUUACCUUCCCAUAAUGGUGGAAGAGAUAAAGAUCCCAAAGUUUUUGCCUGACUAUAGAGAUAAGAUGAAAUAAAACCUAAAAACUAAUGUUGUAGAUGGAUAGAAGGUGAAAUAAAGAAGAAAUUAAAGAAGUUAACGUAUGCCUAAAACGACCACCCAAAUGAAGAGAUGUGACCUAAAAAAUGAAACUAUAGAUUUAUAUUUGCAUGAUGACGUUGUGGGGCUACCGAUGUUGUAAUGAAAAAUGCAGAUUUUGCAUCCCUUUUAGUGGCAGUUUGUUAAUUUUUGGGUAUUUUAGCCUAAUUUCUUCGUUAUGACUCGAAAUUGGUCCAUUUUAGCUCCAUUUUCUUCUUAACAUUCGAUUUUGCCUAUUUACUACUUGAGACGUAUAAAAUAAUAAUGAAGUAAACACAUAAAAUAUAGAAUAAAAUACACUUUUGUUUGAGGUCUAUGUUUAUUCGGUCUCAAAAGUUUCAAAACCAAGCACAUUAGUCCCUCACGUUUGCAAAACAGUUAUGAAUGGUCAUUAACUUAACUGUAAUUGAAUGAAAUGGUUGUUAGACCGUUAUGUGCUUAUAUGGAGGCUCUUUGUUCUGAUAACCUAUCAAUUAUAUUGGAUUAAUUGGAAAAUGAACUACAAAUAAAAGUUUAAAAAUUAAUAAAGGCCACAUGUGCCCUAAAUUGCAUUUCAGCAUAGGCUCCCGAAUGAUAAUUACUGUAUAAACUUGCCAUCUGCGCUGCAACUUGUGUCAACUUUCAAAGUCCAUCCCCAUCGCAACUUAUCGGGAAAAUUAAGGUUCAUCAUUAUUUCAAAGCAUUCACUUCCAGAGGAAUUAGAGAUGUGUUAACGUGUUUACCAAUAAGCGAUGUUCCUAAUGAACAGAUUUCAACAGAAAAAAAGAUUUUUUUCUAAACAAUAAACUGAGUUAAUAACCACAACUUCAACCCAAAUUAAAUCAUUUAAGCCAUAUUAAUCAACUUUUAGGUACGAUGACCUCUAAAACUCCACUUAUCUCAAGGAGCUUCUGUUGGCAUAAACACUUUAAUAUGCUAAAUUGGUGGGAUAUAAAAAAGACUGAGUCCUUAUUGUUUUGGUAUAUUCAAGACCAUAGCCCUAAGUCUCUUUAUAUACUAGUUCAAUUAGGAUUUCCAUUAAGUCCUAAUCAAUAUAGGAAAAGGCUUCUACCCGUUUAAUCCAUACUCAAUUAGGAAUCUUAGGCCUUAAUUAAAUAGAUCACAUAAUAUGCAUAACUUAAUAAAAUACUCAAUGUGAUAAAUUAUUAAUUCACAUACAUAGCCCACAGUUUAAUUAGAUGUAUUAUUUAAAUAUGUCUAACAGUCUUCCACUUGGGCUGUGUUUGUAUUUCUGAUAUAAUUAAAUCACACAAACUUUAAGUGCCCAUAAACCAGUUAUUUUAAUAAUAAAAUUUCUCUUUAAUUCAUUCUGGUCCAUCUCUUGUAUCAAAAUGGAACCAAUGCGGCUUUUAUCACUUUCUUUGUAACUAAACCUUCCUUAAUUACCAAUUCUAAUACACUCAAUGACAUAGAUCAAGUAUGGAUGGAUUACAUGGAAACUACAUGCAAAGUGAUCUAGAUCACGUCUAUUUCCAACUAAGCCAAAUUCUUUAAUCUGUUUCCUUAAUCACUAUGAACGCAAUAUCUGGAUGCGUGCAAAUUUAAACAUUCAUUAGGCUUUCAAUAGUCGAUGCAUAAGGAACCUUCUGCAUCUCAUCAAUCUCGAGUGUGGUCUUGGGGUAUUGACCUAAAUGAAAUUUAUCAACUUUAGCAUGGGUAUCUCCAGAUGCAUAAUCUUUCAUGUCAAAUCUACUAAAAAAAUUUCAAUGUAGUUCUUUUGUGAUAAUCACAAAAAAAUCCAAUGUAGUUCUUUAGAGAUAAUCUCAAAAUACAAAAGAAACAUCACCAAGAUCCUUCAUCUCAAAAUUCCUUUUGAGAAAUCUCUUAGUAUCAUGCAAUAAACCUACAUCAUUACUUGCUAUGAGUAUGUCAUCAACAUAUAACAACAGGAAAGUAGAUUUACUCCUACCGAACUUGUGAGAUACACAAUCUUCCACUAUAUUCACCUCAAAACCAAAAGAGGCAAUUACUUCAUAAAUUUUUUGAUACCAUUAACAAGAGGAUUGUUUGAGACCCUAGAUAGAUUUCUUCAAUUUGCAGACCCUAGACUUUGAAUUAUUAGAUACAAAGUUUUCUGGUUGUGCCAUAUAAAUUGUCUUGUCAAUAUUUUCAUUAAGAAACAUAAUUUUCAUAUCCAUCGGUGUAGCUCUAAAUCAAAGUGAACUACCAAUGCCAUGAUUAUCUUAAAAGAGUCUUUCGAUGAAAUCGGAGAAAAAGUCUCUUUGUAAUCAAUGCAUUCAUUUUGAGUAAAAAAUAAAAGUCUCUUUCAUAUAUAUAAAAAAUACAAGAAAAACUUUGAGCAUCAUUUGACAAUUGGCUCCACAAACAACCAUGUCUAUAAAAAAAAGAAAAAAAAGAAAAUCAAUUUUAAACAAAAAAACUUUUAAUAUCCAUUUAAUUUAUUAAUUUACUUUUCACAAAAUCUCAAAAUAUCUCAUUUAAUUUACUUUAUUUAUUUUAGAAAAGUAAAAAUUUAUUUUAUUCACAUAAUAUCAAAUUAUAUUUUAUUCUUAUUAAUUUUUUUUAAUUUAUGGUACACCUUGGGUCUAUAAAUAGAAACUUUUGUCAUUUGGGAAGAAAAGAGAGUUUCUGAAAAAGAAAAUUUUCUGGGAAAGAAAAUUGCUUGGAGAAAAAAUUCAUUAGAGUGAGUCUCUAGGAAGAAAAUUUUUAGAGCGAAUAUCUUCUCCAAAAAAGUUAUGCAAAAUGUGGGUUUUUCUUAUUUUUUUCAUUACCUUAUUGUCGUUACUGAUCUUUUUUAUUUUAUUUUUUUACUUUAUCUUAAACAAAUCAAAUCCAAUGUUGAAAUAAACUUAGUUGGUGGUUGCUUUUGGUAAGGAUUUAAUGUCAAGUAUCCCCAUCUCAUACAAAUAGUAAUUUUUUUUGGAUUCAAAUCCUUAUUUUUCUUUUCUUCUCAUUUUAAAAGAUAGAGAGAAAGAAAAUAAAAAUAUAAGAAAAUUUUAGUAUUUUCUUACUUUUUUUCCUUUCUUUUAUCAUCAUUUUUUAAAAAAUAAAAUACUUUAGCCUUUUUCUUCUCUCUAAAAAAUAGGGAGAAAAAAAACGACAUCAGAAAAAUGUUCGUUUUUUUAUUUACUAGUAUUUCAUUACUUUCUUCUCGAAUCUCAACUCUUAACCUUUAUUUUCCUUCCUCUAAAACAUUGAAGAAAAGAAUGAGGAAUGAGAAAAUUUUAAUUUUAUUAUCAUUAUAAUUAUUAUUAUAAUAAUAUUAUUGUUGUUGUUAUUAUUAUUAGUAAUUAAUUAUAAUUAUCAUUAUUAUUAUCAUCAUGAUCAUUAUUUUUAUUAUUUUUAUUUCUUUUAUGGUGCCGUCACCCUCUACUAUUUUUCUUUCUUUCUUUAUUAAUUCUUUUUUUUCUUUCCUUAUUUUAUCUAUUGUUAUUAUGUUUCGUUUCUUUUACUUAUUCACGUUACUAUUGUAAUAUUUAAUAGUAAUAUUUAUUGUUAUAUUAACUUAAAUGUAACUUGUUGUAUUUAAAUUUUUUAAUGUUUUAAAAACAUUCCAAUUUAAAAAAUUUUAUGUUCUAAAAUAAAAGUUCUUUUUAAUUCUUUAGCAAAUUUGUCUCUAAUGUUAUAAAUUUUUUUAUGCUUUUUAAAACUUCAAAAUUUUAUCUAGGAUUUUAUAAGGUUUCCUAAAUUAAUCUUUUCUAAUAACUUAGUAGUUUUCUUUAAAUAAAGUCAUACGAGGGAAUCUAGAAAAUUUGGGAGUUCGAUUUUUUAGAAUUCUUGAGGUGAUGGAUCAAUAUUUUUGGGAGUCCGAGAUUUAAUCCCAAGAAAAAAUGAAUUUAAUCGAAGUUUUAAAAAAAUUUUAUUCAAAGACUAGCCUAUGAUAGAUUUUGAGAAAUUGUAAUAAUUUCUCAUUUUCUUAAGGUGAGAAAAUUUUCUUAAUAUAUAGUCUAAUUAAUGGAAUAUUAUUCCACUUAUUUUAUGAGAUCAUUGCUUCAAAUAUUGGAGUAAUGGGUAAAAUAAGACAUUAGUUUUAAAAUAAAUUAAAAAAUAUUUUUAAUUCAAGAUUUGAAAUUUGACUACCAUUUUUUUUAAAUGAGUGUAAAGAAAAGCGGAAGCAAAAUUGUAGUUUGUAGAGUCCCUAUUAUAGCAAGUCAUGAUCCUUCUUGUCGUUCGCCAACUUGCCAUUCCCUUUACGUUUGCCCGAAAAAUAAUACAUAAACAAGAGUGACUAUAAAAAUGUCUAGUAAGGGACCCACUACUAGUCCAUCUACGGGAACUGUUAAAUUCCCAUUAGAGAGUACCCUUUAGUCAUAUAAGUUUUGUGAUGUUGAAGGAACACACAUCUGAGUCUACUGAUUCUGUAGGAACACUCAUUAGUUUGUUGAUCCCUUAGGAACAUACAUUCGUCUAGUAAGUCUAAUGAUCCCGUGAGACCAUACAUCAGUCUACUGAUCCCAUAGGAACACACAUCAGUUAUAUCAGUCGAAAGGUGGUGAUCCCGAGGGACACUAUACAUAUAGGGUACACAUCCCAAUAACUAAAGCUAACAGACACCAACAGUCCAAAGAGCAUGUAACAAUCAACUUGGUCCAACAAUAUGUUGGAAUUUAUGUCCUAAAACUCGUAGAUUGUAAAUAUAAUCCAUUAACCGUUAUUUUUUUUAUCUUAAAUGAGUUAGCACUAGAAUGAGUUGAAUUAUGUUGUUUGAAGGUUAAGAUGUGGUUGAGGAAUUGAGAUCAACUUUAAAUCUUGGGGUAAGUUUGAUUGAGUUGGUUGCCUAAUUAAACAGUAAAGUGAUAGAUUGGAAAAUUUAUUAAGUUUAAAUUUUGUGUAUGUUUAGGGCGGAGUUUAUUAGGAGGAUUUGACUGUCAAUCAGAGGAGUACUUUUCUUUUGCAAAUCUCCAGGUAAGAGAUUUCCCCUAUAUUACCAACUUUAAAGCUUCAUGUUUAGUGGUGUAACUAAGAGAGAUGUGAUAUUUGAGAUAACUGUAUACUUGGUUACUUCGGUAACCCUUUCAUGAUUGAAAUGCAGCACCAUUGGUGUAUGAUAUGAUUAUAUGUUAUUUUGAGUUAUGUCUGUUUAGCUAAGAUGUUGGUAUUAUGUUGAGCAUGUAUAGCCUAUAGUGUCCUAUUAUCUUGCUUGUUAGAGUCGUACCACGAGAGGUCCAUUGAGGUCCCCUAUAUAUACAUAUGCAUGUGUGACUAGUUGAGAUGUGAUUCGACGAGAUCACUUACAGCUCGACUCUCUUUUAAGGUGAUUUCUUUGGGUCCACCGAGAGCCUAGUCCAAUCCCAAUGGGACCACUGGAUAGUAUGCAUUCGGGAGCACAAUAGCGUGUGGUACUUUAUUAGAGGACUCUAACGAGAGACUAAUAGACAUAUAGGAAGACCAUAGUGGGCCUCUUACUGAGUAUAAAUUCAUACUCACUCUUUUAGAUGUUUAAUUUUCAAGCAAGGGGAGAGGCAAGGGCAAAACUAGCGAAUGAUAAGAAGUGACCAUGGAUCAUCAUAGGGGACAGUUCAGUUUUUCUUCCGCAUUUAUAUAAUGGUAUCUUUUUAAUCUUUUUUUCCUUUUAAGUUUGAGUAAUAUAUUUUUUUACAUUUUUAUUCAGUGGAACACUUCAGGUAGAUUUAUAUUGCGUUGGAUAGAAGACUGGAAUUUUUAUUUAUUAAUUUUUUCAUUCGUAUCGAAAAAUUUUAUAUCCCAAAAAACUGUGCAAAUUACAAUCCAGAGUCCGGUCAACACAAUUUGUUGAAAGUCUUGUUAGGGCCUUAUUUUACUUCCCUGUAUAUUCAUAACAUACAAACAACCAUUCCUCGUAGUAAAAUCAUCUCUCUUAGAUGGCACUUUGAACAUACAAUCACAAUAAUCAUCCAAAAACAAAAGACACUUGUAAUUGUCUAUUUUCAAUAUAACAAUGCAACAAAUCUCCUUAUAACACCACUAAUCUCUAACUCCCUACAUUUCAAAAUUCUUACAAAGCAAACACCAUUAUUCACUAUAAACAAACAAACAUCCAUUAAUCCUUCUCAUUCAUACCAUUUCAACACAAAUACAUUAUUAUUACUGGAAACAACUUUAAUAUUUUUCUUCCACACCAAUGGCAUUUCAAAGACUUAUGCCAUUAUUGUUAGUUCUCUUGUUGCUAACCUCCUUCAACGUGUCGAUGGCAAAGAAAAAAAGGCAAAAAACAAAAACGAGAAGCCAGAUUUACCAGAUCCCAACAAUCCUAUUGUCUCGUUCGAAAAGUUUAGAGUUGAAAUUCACAAUGACUUGAAUAUGUACUUGUUAGAUAGUCGUUGCUACUCAAAAGACGACAAUUUCGGGUUGCACGUGUUGUUCCCAGAUGAACAACAAAAUUGGUCUUUUAAAGGGAAUUGGGAUGACACAACGACUUUUCAUUGUAGGUUAGAGUAGGAAAUUGGGUAUUUAGAAUUUGAUAGUUUUAAAAGUGAUCCUUCUUUUGUGACAGAUUUUUGUUGCAACAAAACUUGCAUUUGGAGUGCAAGACAAAGUGGGGUUUAUUUGAAUGAUGCAAAUAACCAAGAAAUCUUUUUUGAUUACUGGGAAAUGCUUAGAUAGGAUAAGAGGCCAACAAUUGAUUGUCUGUGGCCUUGUAAUUAUUUUUAUUGAAUUUACACAUUAUUCUAAUUCAUAUAUUUAUAUAUAUUGAUCAAUGAUUAUUUUUUUACAAUUACAUAUGUUUUGUAAUUGUCACAAGUCAGAGUUUGAUUCAUAUAAAUAAAGUGAUUGGAACUGUUGUUGAUGAUUUGUAAUGUUGAAGUGACAAUUAUUGUCUCAGUGGAAAUUGUUUUCCAUCCCAUAUAGUGAAUUAUUGAUAAAUUUUGAUGUUAUGGGAUUUGGAAGUUAACACUGUGAUGCAUGAAUUCUCAACCAAACUUAUAAAAAUUAUUGUGUCUUACCUUUUAUUUUUUCUCUUUCUUUCUUUUAUUUUGCAAAACUUACAAAAAUUAAAAAAAAUGAGAAUGCAGCCAUCCAUCUAAACUAGUCUAAUUACUACAUUCAUUUAGAAAUUUAUAAAUUAAUAAAGAUGAGUUAGAACGGGAUAUAUAUAUAUAUAUAUAUUUUGAUAUAAUUAGACUUUGAUCAGUUUAAUAAUACUUGACAUAAAUAGUAGAAUGUCAAUGUAUAAUAAUAAUGCUCCAAAUGUAUCAAGAAGACCCAAAACAAUUGGGAUGAGUUAGAAAAUAGUAUAUUUAUUUUUUCAAUAACCUUUGUCUUGACUUAUAAUAUAAUAUUUUUCAUAUGACCCACCAAUUUGAGUAACAUUAAGAUAUAUUAGAAUCGUGAUUUUGAGGUUGUAGCUGUAGAUUAUCCAAAUAGUAUAAUGAUAUUUAGUAAACCAAAAUCCAAUCAUAGAAGCAUUAUUAAUUUAAUUAAUUAAUUAAAAUUGAGAUAAAUGGUCAAAAUGGCAACAUAAGUUACAAGUUUGAUCACACUCUGCUCUAUAUUAUCCAACUUAAUCCUAAGAUGAAAUAUGACGUUUGGAACACAAUAUGUAUCAAAACUUUUCUUAUCUUUCAAUUUAAAAACAAUCGUCCUUUUAUAAUUUGCCCUAUUGAACCAAUAAGUGGACCUUAUAACCAAAGGUUUAUUAUCUCAAUCACACAUCUCCUCCUAUGUGUCUCACUUAGGGUCUAUUGAACAAAAGUUUAAUUUCCUAAAUUUUUAAUAUUUUGUUUAAUUAUUAAUUUUCUUUUUUGAAAUUAAAUGCAAGGGAUGAGAAUUUGAAUCCUUAAGACCUUUUAUUCACAUAUAUUACAAGUGUCGGUUGAACUAAGUUCAAGUGGAACGAUUGUUCAAUUAUUUAAUAAGAAGUUAUUAUUGUCCAUUAUUAAUUCAAUUGCAUAUUAUUGUCCAUAAAUAUGUUAUUAUAUUCUAAAUGUCUAUAAUCAAUUAUUAUACGUCACUAAGUCUGGUCAUUGCACGUGAUGCACUCAUCGUAACUCUCUAUAUAUCAUAUGCUUUAUUUCUGGACGAUGGGUCAUGGGUCAUGAUCAUUGAAUACACAAAAUGCUCACAAUGUACCUCUAUAUCACGUAAUUCCUAACUCCUCAAUGAGUACAAGUUUUUCUACUGCUUGCCCAAGUGCAAGCGAAACAGUAGGUUUAAUUGGGUGAUCUAGGGUUGAACACAUAGGAUUGUUUUAGAUGUUAGUUCUAGAUUUCACUAUUCAUUUGGGCGUGUUGAAAGAAUCAAAUAAUAACAAUUGUAAGAAUUGUCGAAUUACACGGCGAGAGUAAAGGGAAAGUGAAGAUAAAGAUACAAUAACGCAACUAACUUGUAUUAAUGGACAAUAACGCAACUAACUUGUAUUAAUGGACAAUAACGCAACUAACUUGUAUUAAAGGAAUGAAGGCAAAAAUGUCCCUGUGUUACCCUUCGUAUAAGUAGAGAGACAACUAUGAUACAAUCUAACUCACUAAGACAUACUUAUGAUUAAGGCAUGCUUCUCUCGAAGGCAUAUAUGUCACACAUAACUGCUUUUCAGAGAUUCGUAUGACCAAAUAUAGCUAGGUGAAUUAUAUCUAGAAAGACUACUUAUGAGUUAUGUAGUAUUUCGUGAUUAAGGACUAGUACCUCUCGGUAUCCAAUACCCACACUUGCCCUCCUUUCGGAGUUCAAAUGUUAGAAACACUCGCGAUGAGGCAAAGUUCCUCUUCGCGUGCACUAGUUAAGUUCAAGCUAAUAUCCCUUUUUUGGGUAAUUAGCAACUCCUGCUAGCCAAUCAAUAACAAAAGCGUAAUUAACACGUUAAAAAUUAUAAGUGACUAUUCUUAUCAUGACCUAUCACCUACCCAAACUACUGAUAACACAUUGACUUGUAGAGGAAGAGAGAAAUUGAAAUGAACAACUAUGUUUAUAUAAAACUACAAAGAAUGUAGGUCAUAGACCAAUAUACAAUAUAUACAAUAUUGAAGUACAAAACAUGAAAGAAACAACAAAUGAAAGACAAAGCAAAUGAAUUAAUUAUUACAAGUUUAGAGAUUCGACAUUAGAUAAUCUUUUUCUCCAUCUACACUCUUCAAGCCCCUUUCUGGUUUAUUCGGGUCCCCCCUCUUGGUUGGUGGAGACAAAAUGCUUGUAUAGUCUGCUUUUCGGUGGCAACUUCUAUUCCUCUAAGUGUGUCAAUGUUGUCACUUGGCCUUGUGAGGUCACAUCAUCUCAACUACCAUCCUUGUCUUGUAAUGAGCUUCUUGUGUGAUGUCUUGGUUCCUUGCCUGGGGUCAUUUAUCGCCAAGCUAGUUCCUAUCGCGUAGCUUUUGCACAACAUAUCCUGUGUAAUUUGCUCCUUUCUUCUUUUCGCACUUAUUUCGUGUUUAAACAUGAUAACCGCGUAAACCAUGAAUGACACUUAUGCAAGCUGUAUUUCUAAAUAUUUAUGCAUUUACAACACAAGUCAUGCAUUCUGAUCAUCUUCUUAUGCAUUUUGACCUCAUUAUUCUAAUAGGAAAGGGUUAUAAUAAUGCUCAUUUCUUAUGCAUUUGGAGAAUCGUCCUCAUUAGAACAAGGCAAUUCAAAUUUGAAACAUCGACAUAAAGGUAUGUUUAUUCGGGAUUUAAUUAUUUAUGCAAAGUCUAUUUACAUUCUAAGGGUCAUUAGAGAAAUUAUGUUAUGUUAAUUCCACUGCAUCUAGCCCUAGUUCGUUUUCCAACAAUUCUGUCACAAAUAUUAGAGAUGUCACAACAUGAAAGUUGGUAACCUAGUUUAGUGAUACAACAACUACGUUUAGAAGGUAGUAUGCCCAAAGAAAGAUCAUGCAAUAAUAUGAUCAAGUUAAGCGAUCACAACAUUGCACUUAAUUAUCUGGAGACAAUCUUAGAGUGAUAACCAUAGAGCUUAGCUCAUCUAAGUACCUAAUGUAACAACCCAACUUUCUAACUAAGUUGAAGUCAUUAAUUUUGACAAAGAGACCUUGAUUGUCACAAAAUAUAGUAAAAUUCUUUUUUGAAAUCAUACGAUCAAAGGAAAACAACCUUAAGUCGGGCCCUUAUUUCAAAUUAACCAAAACUUUAAAAGUAUUGUUUACAAAACAACCAUUCGUAAACUCAGUUCCAUCACAAAAUUAAUAAAUAACCUCAUGUACUAAGAAAAACAGGAAAAACAUAAAGCGAAAGCAUUUGAAAGAUGUUCCCCUAUGGCAAUCAUGUCUCCUUCUUGUCCCUCGUCGGUUUACCUCAUUUGUUACCUUUGCCUGAAAUAGUUAAACAUAAAAGGGUGAGUAUAAAUAUAUUCGGUAAGAGACCCACUACUGGUCCCGUUAGGGAAAAAAUAAACUCUUAACUUCCUAUGGAGUACCAUGUACAGUCACAGUCUUGUGAUCGCGUAGGAUACACAUAAUCAGUCUUACGCUCCAAAGGACGCAUAAAUCAGUCUAGUGCUCUCGAAGGAUGCACAAAAAGGGUGGUGAUCACGUAGGACACCUGCAAGGUAACUAUUCAAUAGGAAACUAAUAAUUUUUCCCCUCAGUCCAUUCUAAACAUCUUAUCAAUCAACCAUAAUGCAGUAAAAUUACCUCAACACAUAAUCCCUUCACUUAUUAUCCUAACCGUCAACUUAUUGCAUUUUAGCCCAAGUCAGUUAAUAACAUAUCAACACAACAGUCAAACAAACUAAGUAAUCAUAACAUCCCUUCAAUUCACUAGCACAUAACCAUACUUGGUAUAAUUUACACCUAGUCCACACGAGAGCCAACCAGUUCACAUCCACAUAUUAUAUAGGCAAUAUACUCAGUUUUGCAGUCGUUUCAACAUCCAUAUGUAUAUAUAUAUAUAGUUCCAGUCAAACACAACAUACAUUCAAUCUCAAGUCUACAUCAAACUAUAUAUAUCAUAACUGACAUCCAUUCUCAGUUUAGGGAUAACAUACAGUCAACAUAUUCUGCUUUCUAGGUGAGUCCAGUAGUAGAAAAUCUCUUACUAAUACAUAAUCUGACCUUAACGUAACGAUUUCUCAAAUAUGUCUAAUUAAAGUUUGGGCUAUGUAUGUGAAUUAAUAAUUUAUUACAUUGAGUAUUUUAUUAAAUUAGGCAUGUUGUGUGAUUUAUUUAACUAAGGCCUAAGAUUCCUAAUUGAGUGUGGAUUAAAUGAGUAAAAGUCUAUUCCUAAAUUGAUUAUGACUUAAUAGGGAUCCUAAUUGAACUAAUGUAUAAAGAGACUUAGGGCUAUGGUUUUGAAUAAACCAAAACAACAAGGACUCAGUCUUUGUUAUAUCCCACCAUGAGAAAGAUCCCACUAAGGGCAUUCAGGGUUUUGGUUGAAGAAGACAAUAGCCAUUUUAUAGCCAUUAGACAAAGCCAUUUUACAAACAUCAUCAAUGGAAUUUGAUAUGUAACUUAUUCUUGAUAAUUUAGCAUGAAUGAUCUUGGGUUAAAUCUAUUAUAUAGAUUUAAUUAAAGUAUUUAUGCCAACAGAAGCUCCUUGAGAUAAGUGGAUUUUUAGAGGUCAUUGUACCUAAAAGUUGAUUAAUAUGGCUUAAAUGAUUUAAUUUGGGUUGAAGUUGUGGUUAUUGACUCACUUUAUUGUUUAGAAAAAACCCUUUUUUCUGUUGAAAUCUGUUCAUUAGGAACAUCGCUUAUUGGUAAACACGUUAACACAUCUCUAAUUCCUCUGGAAGUGGAUGCUUUGCAAUAAUGAUGAACCUUAAUUUUCCCGAUAAGUUGCGAUGGGGAUGGACUUUGAAAGUUGACACAAGUUGCAGAGCAGAUGGCAAGUUUAUAGAGUAAUUAUCAUUUUCGGAGCCUAUGCUGAAAUGCAAUUUAGGGCACAUGUGGCCUUUAUUAAUUUUUAAACUUUUAUUUGUAAUUCAUUUUCCAAUUAAUCCAAUAAAAUUAAUAGGUCAUCUAAACAAAGAGCCUCCACAUAAGCACAUAACGGUCUAACAACCAUUUCAUUCAAUUACAGUUAAGUCAAUGACCAUUCAUAACUGUUUUACAAACGUGAGGGACUAAAGUGCUUAGGUUUGAAACUUUAGAGACCGAAUAAACAUAGACCUCAAACAAAAGUGUAUUUUAUUCUAUAUUUUAUGUGUUUACUUCAUUAUUAUUUUAUACGUCUCAAGUAGUAAAGAGGCAAAAUCGAAUGUUAAGAAGAAAAUGGAGCUAAAAUGGACCAAUUCUGAAUCAUAACGAAGAAAUUAGGCUAAAAUACCCAAAAAUUAACAAAUUGUCAAUAAAACGAUGCAAAAUCCACAUUUUUCAUUAUAACACUGGUAGCCCCACAGCGCCGUCAUGCAAAUAUAAAUCUAUAGUUUCAGUUUUUAGGUCAUAUCUCUUCAUUUGGGUGGUCGUUUCAUGCAUAUGUCAACUUGUUUAAUUUCUUCUUUAUUUCAACUUUUUUGGAGUAGUUUGACAAUAUGGUUGAGACUUUUUAUCUAUGGGUUUUACUCUUGAUUUGUUGAUUAUUAUGAAUUACAUUUUUUUUUUGUUAUUGAUUGACAACUAAUGCUUGAUUCAUAUUUUAGGUUAAUGUAUAAUAUAGGUGACAUACAAUUGUCCAUUAAUCUCCACGAAGCAAUAAUGAGUUAUAUAGACUUGUGGUUUGUGGUUGAUAAAAAAGAGCAUUGUUCUAUUGACCUAAGAAAAAAAUUCAUAUUAAAUUUGUAAUUAGGCUUUCGCUAGUAGAAGUUUAUCCUAACGUAAUCCCAAGUGUAAUACAAUUGAUUAACUUGAUUAGGAUGCUUCUCAUCUAGUUAAAUUGAUGAAUUUGAUAUUUAGGACCAUUGAUUAGCUUUUCUAGGAUCAAAAUUACAUUUAUCUUUAUUAAUUUUUCUUGCACUUCAUUCACUUGAAUCUCAAACCACACCGAACACCCUCCUUUAUCACUUUAGCUAAACAAUUAACUUUGAGAAACUAAUCUUCAUGCUUCCUUGUAUUACUUAGUAGUAUAGGUAGUAUUGAUCGGUAUAGCUUAAAUUUCAUUUGUUUAGUUCAUUUACGGAUGAGAGUGAAAAUGCUACAUCACUAUCCUUCAAUCACACCUUUCAAAUUUUCUAUUAAUUAAUUAUUACCGUGAAAAAAAGGAAAAAAAAUGUCCUUUAUAAUUGUUUAUAUUUCUUUUAUAGCGACCUCGAUGCUGACUUUUCUAAUUUUUAAAACAAGAAACAGUCAACAUACAUCAAACCAUUAGAUUUUUAGACAAUCUAUUUCUUAUACUCUAUCCAUAUUAUGCACAAAAAAGAAAGAAAGAAAGAAAGAAAACAACCACCCAUUAAAUUUUUCAACAAACUUAACUAUUUUAAGCCUUUUCCACAUCAAAAACUUGUAUAAACACAUACACGUAACUCACAAGAACAUUGAAUCCUUUAGAAAUUGAGAGGAAACCAAAGUAGCAUUUUACAGAUUAGAUUAUUUCUUUCAAGCAAAAAUUAAACCUAUGCAUCAAAUCGUAUUAUUAUUGACAUGCCUCUUACUUAUCAUAUUUCGGCCAACGGUCGCAAGCAAAGAACAACGAUCGACCAGAUCUCUUAUUUAUAUCCCGAAGUUUCACCUAGAAAUUCGCAACGAGUUGAAAAUGUAUAUAAUGGAUUGUCAUUGUUGGUCGAAAGAUGACGAUUUAGGGUUACAAAUACUUCUUCCAGAUGAAAGGCAAAGUUGGCCCUUCAGAAGGAACUUUAUGGGAACACAUUAUUCCAUUGUAGAUUGGAAUGGGAAAGAGGGUUUAGGGAAUUUGAUGCAUUUUUUGUUGAUGAAGAUUUCGUUAAUCAAUUUUGUCCCAACUUUCUAUGUGUUUGGAUAGCCAAACAAGAUGGGCUUUACAUGCUGAAUGGAGCUGGUCAACUUGUUUUUCAUCAUCGUUGGAAAUUGCUCCGAAUUCCUUGUAACGAGGGUUUGACUCUUAUCAAAUUGGGUUUAUGGUUAAAUUAAUUAUUUGUCUCCAUUUAUUAUUAAUUCCACCUUGAAGAUUUUUCAAGUGUUAUUUAUUUUAAUAUUAUUUUUUAAGUUCGACAAAAACCUGAACUUUUAACCUUUUGGUAAAGGUAUGUGUAACUAAUUGUACGCUAACAAAACUUUUUGACGUGUGAUGUCGUUCCAAACAUGUCAAUAUUCAUUUAUCUUUGAACUUUGAAAAAUAUUAUUUAUUUAUUUAUAUAUUUAUUUAUGUAUUUGUAUAUUGUAGCUACAAGAAUGAGCUGAAUUGUUUACUUGGAUUAAGAAGCAACUAAAAUGAAUACUAAUUUCUUUUGUAAUCCUCAAGGGUUUUUAGAAUCUAUGGUUUAACUUUUUAGAGACCAUUACCAACCAACUACGUUGAACGCCACCAACUAACUACAAACGAUCAAUGUCGUUGAUUGUAACGACCAAACUUUUCUAACUAAGUCGAAGUCAUUAAUUUCAAACAAAGACCUGAACUUACACAAAAUAUGAAAUUCAAUUAAAAUCAAACUCUCAAGGAAAACAAAAUUUAAAUUCGAGUCCGUUUAAAAUAACCAAAAACUUUCAAAGAAAGGCUUACAAAUCAUCCGUUCGUGAAUUCAGUUAACCCACAAAGUUUUCUAAACAGUCUCGAGUACUAAAACGUAAUAAGAAAAUAAAACAUUAAACAGAAGCAAAUUAAAAUAUCCCUUAUGGCAAUCACGCUUCCUUCAUGUUCCUCGUUAGUCUGCCUCCUUUGUUAUCUUUACUUGAAAAUGUUAAAUAUGAAAGGGUGUGUAUAAAAAUACUCAGUACGAGACCCACUACUGGUCCUGCUAGGAGAAAAAUAAACUACUAACUCCCUAUGGAGUACCAUGCACAAUCACAGUCUUGUGAUCCCGUAGGAUACACAUAAUCAGUCGAACGCCCCGAAUGACGUAUAAAUCAGUCUAGUGUUCUGCAGAAACACAUAUCAGUCUAGUGCCCCCGAAGGACGCACAUAUCAGUCUAGUACUCCCGAAGGAUGCACAUAUCAUUCUAGUGCUCCUGAAGGAUGCACAUAUCAGACUAGUGCUCCCAAAGAAUGCACAAAAAGGUGGUGAUCCUGUAGGACACCUACAAGGUAACUACCCAAUAGGAAACUGAUAAUUUUUUCACUCAGUCCAUUCUAAACAUCUUAUCAGUCAACCAUAAUACAGUCAAAUUACCUCAACACAUAAUCCCUUCACUUAAUAUCCUAACAGUCAACUUAUUGCAUUUUAGCCCAAGUCAGUCAGUAACAUAUACAUCAGUCAAACAAACUAAGUAAUCAUAACAUCCCCUCAGUUCACUAGCACACAGUCAUACUUAAUAUUAUUUACACCCGAUCCACACGACAACCAACAAGUCCACAUCCACAUAGUGUAUAGACAACAUCCACAGUUUGCAGUCAUUUCACAUCCAUAUGUAUAUAUAUAUAUAUAGUUCCAGUCAAAACAUAACAUACAUUCAAUCUCAAGUCUACUUCAAACUAUAUAUAUCAUAAUUGACAUCCAUUCUCAGUUUAGGGAUAACAUACAGUCAUAUUCUACUUUAUAGGUGAGUCUAAUAGUAGAAAAUUCCUUACCUCAACAUAACUCAAUUUCUCAAACAAACUAUAUCAAACGAAAGACACCUAAUCACAAAGAUAUGAAACUCAAUUACUUUCACGAUACACACUCCACUUAAUUUCCUCAAUGUCAAUUCUAACUUACCGAAGUAUUGGGGAACCAAACUUCAACAAGCCACAAAUUUGGUUGUGAAUUAAAAGAACUCAAUGUCACUUUCAACACCUUCAAGAAUCUAUCAUUUGAACCAAUUAACCAUCGAAAAUUUACAAUGCAAAACCAUGAAUCCUACAAUUUUCAUUCUUACCACAACUACCCAGAGUAUGACAAAAACUAGAAUGAUAGAAGGAAUGAAAUCUGCACGUGUAAACCGGGUUGGGGAAUCGACAACAGCUAUUUCACAGUUGGCAGACGAGGAUGUGGCACGGUAUACUAUGACGUGCAUUUGUCGGAUUGUGAACGGGGACAGAUGCAAUCGAAACGUCAAUCUGGCUUCAACGACCGACCUGCAGCUUGCAAACAGACGAUUCACAGUGGAGAGAUGGUGUACGGUGGAGAGACAGCAUACAGACAAUUGGCGACUCUAAAUCAUGUGUAGGGUAAUUUUGCUCAUGAUUUUCCAACUAACGAGAAGCAUAAGCAACCACCCUACCUUGCUGCAUCAAAACGCAACCCAGUCCUUUCUUAGAGGCAUCGCUGUAUAUCACAUAAUUACCACAUCCAUCUGGCACCAUAAGGACCAGUGUAGUAACGAGUUUCUUCUUCAUAAACAACACUGGUGCUCCCCAAGGUGACACACUAGGUCGAAUAAAACCCUUGUCCAGUAGUUCCUGCAACUGGACCUUCAGCUCCUUCAAUUCCGCUGGCGCCAUUCUGUAUGGGGCUCUUGAUAUGGGACUAGUAACUGGUUCGAGCUCUAUGGUGAAAUCAACCUCUCUGCAAGGCAGAAGUCCUGGAAGCUCCUCUAGAAAAACAUCGGGGUAUUCCCUUACCACUGGCUUAGAUGAUAAAGAUAUACUUUAGGCCCAUUGGUGUCCACAACACCAGCCAAGAUACUUAAAGUACCCUGGUCAAACAACUUACUAGCCUUCAUGACUGAGAUAACUUUGGGUAGAACCACAGUUCCUGCCCCCUUAUACUUAAAACUAGUUGCCUUGGGAGGGUUAAAAACUACCUCCUUUUGGGAACAAUCUAUGCUUUCAUGGUUAGCGGAUAGUCAAUCAAUGCCUAAUAUUACAUCAAAAUCACGCAUGUCCAAUACUAAUAAAGUUACAUCUAAAACAUGCUCUGCUACUUCUCGCUGACAUGCUUUUAUCUUUUCUCUCGACAACAUAAUUUCUCUAGAUGGAGUAGAAACAGACAAUAGAUAACUCAAGGGUUCUACUUCUAAAUUCAUAUGUUGUACAAACAUUGAGGAUAUAAAAGAAUGAGAGGAUCUCGAGUCAAAUAAUACUAAAGCAAGGUGUUCUAGGAUUGGGAGUGUACCUGUCACCACUGUGCCAUCUCUCUCGGCCUCCUGCCUAUCAGUGGCAAAAACUCUCCCCUAAGUGGUUGAGGAAGUCUAGUUUGCAACAACUUCGAAUGAUUUCUAAGGGCACUUAUCAACUAGAUGCCCAAGUUUCCUGCACUUGUAACAUACUCCACUUCCUGCUAGGCAACGACUAGAGUGAGGUCUUCAAUAAUUAGGACACAUGGGUAAUACCUUCAAGGUUUGGGCUGCCUGAGCAGCUUGUUGUUGGUGCCGUUGGAACAAACCACCUGAUCUCAAAUUCCUCUGUGGUGUUGCUAUAGGCUGCUGCUCAUUCUUCUGUUUUUGUCUCGAAGUUGGCCCCUUUUCUACAGCCUUAGCCAACAUCGUCCUCUCAUGCAAACUCAGGUCUACUGCCAUGCGCAGCGCAUCAACCUGGGUGGUUGGUCUAAGGACGCAAAUGAAACCCUGGAUCUCUAACUUGAUACCUUUAACGAACUUGUCAACUCUCUCAACCUCGGUUCUCAUUAAAUCGGGUGCAAACCGGGAUAACGCGUCGAACUCCUGAUCAUACUCUUCCACUGUCAUGUUGCCUUGCUCCAGUUUUAAAAAGUCAUGACACUUGGCUUCUCUCACUGUGGCAGAGAAGAUUUUGGCAUAAAAGAUCUCCUUGAACUGCUCCCAGGUGAUCUUACUUAUAUCUCCACCCAACAUCCUCUCUAUGGACUCCCACAAUCCUCUGCCCCAGUCAAUCAGUAAGUACACAGUGCAUUGAACCUUCUGGUCAUUGGGGCACUUCAUAUAACGAAAGAUGGUCUCCACCAAACUCAACCACAUCUGUGCCUUGGUGGGGUCUGCUAAAGAUCCAUAGAAAGUUCGAGGGUUAUACUUUCUGAAGUCCCUCAGGUGGUUGGCUUCGGCUGAAUGCAUGUCUAGUAAGUGUUGGGCUACAACUGGGGUCUGAACUCCUAUAGCUGGGAUCUGAACACCUGCAGUCGGUGCCUGAACAUAAGCUAUCUGGGUCUGCGGAGCAAGCUGUCGUUGUGCCAUUACUUCAAAUAAUAAUUCUUUGUACCUUUGCUCCAUAGCAGCCAGGUCUGCUUGAGUAACAGGUGCAGUAGGGUUGACAGCUUGUACAGUUGGUUGUCCCCCGGGCUAUCCUCCAGGCUGUCCUCCAGAUUGUCUUUCAGAUUGUCCCGCAGGCUGGUUACGUGCAACUCCUCUACCUCCUCCACCACCUCUACGAAUACUUCUACGUGGCGGCAUUUUUUCUAAUUUCCACCAUUAAAAGUCUUUUACUACGAGUUCAUUCAUAACAUACUUAUCUAGUUUAAUUCAGGCAAGGUCAUAUGAAGAAUCUUAUAUUAUAUCAUAAAAUGUACCUGGCGAGUGACGAAGGACUGUAUUAACUAUAGGGAUAAAAUCAAAGACUUACAUCGUAAGUAAGUCUACAGAACCUAAAACUUGGCUCUGAUACCAACUGUAACACCCCACUUUUCUGCUAAGUGGGAGUCAUUACCAUUUAAAUAAUAUAGAUUUUUUUUUUCAAGAAAAAUCCUAAAAUCAAGUUAAACAUUUUUAAAUAGUUAAAAAAAUGAUAGAAAAAAAAUAUAUAAAGAGGAAAUAAAAUAAUUAAAUGAAUAACAAAAAUAACCAAUCCAAAAUACUAGUUUAGGCCCUUUAAAAUAGAAGAAAUACUUCAACAAGUAAACUUGAGUUUUGAAAUAAACCUCUGAAAAAUAUAAUCACUGAAAAUAAAUGCGAAAGAAACUGAAUUAUCCUCUAUAGUGAACCACAGUCACUUCUUAUCAUUCGCCAGCUUGCCCUUGUCUUUCCAUUUAAGGGAGUGAGUAUGAAUUUAUACUCAGUAAGAGGCUUACUAUUGGUCUCACUAUGUGUCUGUUAGUCUCAAGUUAGAGUCCUGUAAUAAAGUACCACACACUUUUGUGCUCCCGAACGCACACUAUCCAGUGGUCCCAUCGGGACUGAAUUGGGCUCUUGGUGGACCCAAAGGAAUCACCUUAAAGGAGAGUCGGGCUGUAAGUGAUUCUGUCGAAUCACAUCUCAACUAGCCACACAAGCAUAUAUAGGGGAGGACCUCAAUGGACCCCUCGUGGUACGACCCUAACAGGUAGACUAACAGGACACCAUAGGCUAUACAUGCUCAACAUAACAUAAACAUUUUAGCUCAAACAACCAUAACUUAAAGUAACAUAUAAUCAUAUCAUACACCAAUGGUGCUGGAUCUCAAUCAAAAAGGGUUACCGAAGUAACCAAAUGGUCAUAUUACAUCUCUCUUAAUUACACCUCUGAACAAUACAGAAAAUACAAGAUAUACAUGUAGCUUUAAAGUGAGUAAUAUAGGGAAAAUCUCUAACCUGAAUAUUUGCUAAAAUAUGAUAAUUCACUGGUUGACAGUCAGGUUCUCUCAACACUCAAUCCUAACCACGAUCAAAAUUUAAAAUUAAUAAUUUUGUUAACUAUCACCGUUCUGAUUAAUUAGCAACCAAACUUAUCCAACUUACCCGAAGAUUAUGGUUGAAUCCAACACAACCUUAAUUGGAAAAAUUCUCAGCUUCAAUUCCUCAAUUUAUGCUUGAACCUUCAAGCACAUACAUCAACUAGAUCCAUAACUUAACUUAUUUGGGACAAAAUAGGAAAUUAAUGGGGCUACCAAACCCAAUCAAUACUGACAAAACUCACCAAAGGCUCAAAUAUGUUGCAGACGGCUAAAACUAAAAGUGGCUUGGCUAGUAAGGACUUCGGCUCGGGUUUUGGGACGACUGGCUCGAGUACGACUUAUACAGAAGUGGCUCGCGUACAGCUCACAUGGAAGUGGCUUGGUUGCGCACAAUUAACUUCAAAAUAAGAUUUCAAAUUUCAGAAUUAACCAUAUAACAUAACAAAACACUUAACUUCCACAGUUCAAAUAAUUUCACACAUAACACUUAAAAAUUCAAUAUAACACAAAUUACAAGUUAACUUAAUAGUUUUGGGGUGCUACAUAAAUAUUCGAGAUCAGCUUAAAGGGUCUAUAGUAGAGGGAUAAGGUUGGGUACCUUAUCCUGGUAACACAAUGGGUUUGGGGAAUUUGAUGCAUUUUUUGUUGACGAAGAUUUCGUUAAUCAAUUUUGUCCCAACUUUCUAUGCGUUUGGAUAGCCAAACAAGAUGGGCUUUACAUGCUGAAUGAAGCUGGUCAACUUGUUUUUCAUCAUCAUUGGAAAUUGCUCCGAAUGCCCUCCUUGUAAUGAGGGUUUGGCUCUUAUCAAAUUGGGUUUAUGGGUUAAAUUAAUUAUUUGUCUCCAUUUAUUAUUAAGUCCACCUUGAACAUUUUUCAGGUGUUAUUUAUUUUUUAUUAUUUUUAAGUUCAACGAAAGUGUGACCUUUUAACCUUUUGAUUAAAGGUAUAUGUUGCAACUAUUGUACUCUAACAAAACUUUUUGAUGUGUGAUGUGACCAAAUAUCUCCACACGUCGUUCAAAACAUGUCAAUAUUCAUUUAUCUUUGAACUUUGAAAAAUAUUAUUUAUUUAUUUAUAUAUUUGUAUAUCGUAGCUACAAGAAUGAGUUAAAUUGUUUACUUGGAUGAAGAAGCAACUAAAAUAAAAUGAAUAUUAAUUUCUUUUGUAAUCCUGAAGGGUCUUUAGAAUUUACGGUUUACAAAGACUACUUUUUAGAGACGAUUACCAACCAACUACUAAGAAUAGUUUUUAGUUGAACGUCACCAACUAACUACAAACGUUCAAUGUCGUCAACCUUAAUUUGUCAUUUUACAGUGACCGCCAUCAACCACCUCAAACCUGAUAGAACUAAUUCAUGCACAGCGGAAAAAGAAUCGAAUUUCUACCCUAAUUGCCACAAUUAACAUCUAACCAUAAAUUAAUCAAAUUAGGGUUUUAAGAAGUAUUACCUUUGAAGUCUUCUUACCAAUUCUACCCGAGACCACCACUAGUGCUCAACUGCUAUCCUCUAGACAAAGAACCGGGUUGUGGGACCCAAUUUUGGUGUAGAAAAUAAUGGAGAUAAAAUGAGAUUGGAAGCUUUCUUUUUUUUCUUUUGUUGAGAUUAUGAAAAUGAUAAAAGAGGCAAAAGUCCUUCAACAUUUGAAAACAUCUCUAUUUAUAGCCUAAUUACAUGCAAAAAUGCAUGCAAUUCAAUUGCCAAAUCUCAACACCUAAUAUUCCACUAACAAUUAUUGGAACUUAGUGGGCUAGGUGUCUAUAUCUCAUAUAGCCACAUAUCCCACUAAGAGUUAGUGGGAUUAUCCAACAAAAUGUUGGAUUUUCCCACUAACUUAGUCCAAGGGUAAAAUGGUCAUUAGAUUUUUCUAGUCAAAAGUCAAACUUUGACUUUUCUAAGUCAAAAGUCAAUAUUUUGACUUUUUACCAUUUUGUCCGUCUUGACUAAUUCCAACCUCCCGAGCAUGAAUCCGCAUUCAUUUUUCCAAAAUUCAAAUCACAUUUGAAUAUAAUGCCGGUCAAAGUUUGACUUUUCAAAGUCAAAAGUCAACAUUUUGACUUUUUACUAUUUUUUGACCAAUUCCGAGCUUCUUAGUAUGAAUCCGCAUUCAUACUUAUAGUAUGUAGAACAUAAAGCUCUAUUUCUAAUUAGAAGACCGACGACUAUAUCACUAUAUUUGUCGGUUUCCCUUUCUUCUCCCAAUUCGAACAAUUCGACUUAUUUCAUCACACUGUUCUAAGUUUAAUCCAUAUGAGCUAGCAGAGGAACCUAAUGGACCUAUAGAUCAUGGGCUCCAACGAUUCAAGAUUAACUAGCUAAACUCUUUUAAACCGAGUUAAUCAACAUUCGUUAACUAACGGGUCACUCCACUAAAGUCUCGUAGUUGCACUCCCCUCACUAUAGAUAUAUUUGUGUCCAUUUGAUAAAACCAUAAUCAGUAAGUUAAUCCUUCACAGGUUGCUCGUAACCUUGGCUGGGUCAAAAUACCGUUUUACCCCAAGAUUACAUCUUGCUCCUUAAGUCCCACUAAUCCACUAUUGAACAAUUGGUUUAAGGUUCAACCUAUAAACUUAAUCCCUCUCGGGCCAAUGAGAGGGUGGGGCCCCUUGUUCAAGACUUGGAUUCAGUGCUUAAGAGAGCAACCUAUCUACUAACCCUAAAGCGGGUAGGAGUGAAUUCCAUCUUGUACCCUAUGUUCCCAGCUGUCCACCCGAUCUUACCCCUGAAAUGGGAGGCUUAUUGGCCAACGCUGAUGAGCUGCCUCACCUAUGCAGAUCUAAGGAUAAUCUCGUAUGAACAGGAGUUCAUAGUUAACUCAGGAUUAAGACUAAGUUACCUAGGUCAUCAAUAAUUGAGAUAGUCAGUUUUAAACAGUAAACGGUGUUAUAACGUAAAAAUGACUAAUUCAUGGUUCAGUCUUAUGUAAACAUUUUACAUAGGAUGCCCCCACUUUCAUGUCUCUACAUGAACGAUUAGGAUCACAUCGUUUGUACUACAAAGUGGGCCGCAUCCAUAGUUUCUCUAAAUAAGGCGCCCAACCUUUAUUUCAUAUACUAUAGACUAUUUAGGCUAUAUACUCGAACUUGAUCCACGUUUAUGUUUACACAUAAAGUUCAAGUUUAUUCAAAAAUAGCCUUGGAACUUGAUUUAUUGGAUUUAAGAUUAUAAUAUUUAAUUUCUCAAUAACAACUUUAUUGAACAGAAUAUGAUUUACAAACUACGAGUUUUAGGACAAAAUUCCAACAAAACCAACAUCCUCGAUGAUCGUUAACCAACUUUUAUCGAAAUCUCCACGGAUAAAUCCUUUUAUUGUAAUCGAAAAUUAUAAAAAAACACAUUUCUUUUUAUUUUAAAAAGUUUUUAGACAAAUAUAAUGUUUAAAUGAAAAUUCUUUUUUGUUAUAAAAAAAAAAAAAACUUUGUUUUUAAUGUGCUCUUUUCCGAUCCUUAGGUUAGGUGAGAGAUGCUCCAUUAACAAAAUAUGUUUUUAUAUAUUUAACUUAUAUAUACCUCUGUUCAAUUGUUAGUAAGUUUUUCUUUAAGACCUGUCUCUGGUUGCUCCAAUUAAUUAACUACAUCAUUUCAUUAAGAAUUAGCAACCUUUCUUUCUUUUAAGCACGAUACCAUGUAGAACAAUCUCAAUACUCAAUUACCAAAAGUUGAUCAACUUUAUUAGUUAGUAAACCUUUGGUAAAUACAAUCUCUUGUUCUUUCUUUUCUUCUAAACUUUUUUCCCUUUUCUAACUUUCUUUCUAUAAUAGCUCAUACUAAUUAAGGUAAGCUUGAGUAUGUUGAAGGUGAGGGGAGUUCUCACACUUAUAGGAAGUCAAAGUUCCAUUGAGAGAGAGUCUCACACUUUAGGAGAAGUCAAGUGAAAACUUUCUAAGUUUGGGCUAUUCUCGAGGUGUCACUGUAAUUAUAAUUUAUUUAGGUGUAAGUAUAUCGUUGGUAAUUGUUUGACUUUAUAUUGAAGAAGGAAGAGAAAAAAAAUAUGUUAAAAAUAGAGAAGUAAGAUAGUGUUGAGAUUUAUGUCCUAAAACUCGUAGAUUGUAAAUAUAAUUCAUUGGAUCGUUAUUAAUAAAAUGGUUAUUAUUAUAGGUUUCAAUAAAUGUCAUUCAUUAUAUUAUUAGUUUUGUCUUAAUAACCUAAAUCUAAUAAACUGAAAUCCUAAGUUGUUUGAUGAGUCUUGAACAAUAUGUAGAGACAUACAAUGAUCAACGUUCGAGAUUAAGGGGUCUAUAGUAGAGGGAUAAGGUUGGGUACCUUAUCCUGGUAACACUAUGGAUACGACUCACCUUGCAUUUAAUUACCCAAGACCGAGUGAGGAGCUGGAAACAUAAUUACCCAAGAUGGAAUUCACUCCUUUCUAACUUCAUGAUAAGUAAAUGAGUGUUUUCUUAAAUGGUGUCUCCAGAACUUAAACAAAGGGCCCUACCCUCUUUAUGGCACGAGAGGGGUUUUUGUGUAUUGGUUGAACCAUAAACAUAUUGUUCAUUAAAAGAGCACUGGUAUUUAAUGACUUAGAAAGAGUAACCACCAAAGGGCAAAAUUGGUAAUUUUGAUGGCAACGGUAGGACAUGCAUAGUGAAAUAAGGAUCAAACUUUACUAUAAUUACAACUAAACAAAUUUAGUAAUUAACAUGCAUAAUAACCCUAAUAUAAACAAAGAUAGGGUGAAAAGAAAAACUCGCAUUUGAUUGCUUUUCUCUUCUUGUAAUCUCCUCAACAACUUUUUGCAAUCUCCUCACAAUUCUCGAAUCCAGGACUACCACUAGAGUGACUGGCAAUUCUUUGGACUUGGAACCGAGUUUUGGGACUGAAAGAAGGUGGAGGAAUUAGAGAGGGAUGAUACGUUUUGGAGGAAUCUAACUCUUAAAUUUUUUUUGUUGUUGAGAGUAAAAGAAGUUCUUAGAUUAUUUGUUUGUAAUUCACCAUUACAAAAUUACUUUUUGCAUCAGAAACACAAGAGUCCUUUCAUCUUUGCAGAAGAAACUUUUACAAGCAAACUACAUGCAAGAGCUUUCCUAUAUCACCUCUUGGCAUUCUUAAUGGGGUAGGUAUCUUGCAUGCAAUAAGCCACUUGCAUACCACAUGCAAGUGAUAAGUGUUUGUCAAAUCUCAACAAGUGUUACUAUUUAAAUUAGUUUAAGGGCAAUGUGGUAAUUUAACAUUUCAAUCAAAUUCCAAAAUUUUGGACUUUUUAAGUUCCAAAGUUCAACAUCAUUUUGACUUAUUACCAUUUUGUCUGUCUUGACUAAUUUCGACCUUUCGAGUAUGAAUCCACAUUCAUUCUCUAAAAUUCAAAUCACAUUUGAAUAUAAAGUCGGUUAAAGUUUGGCUUUUCAAAGUCAAAAGUCAACAUUUUGACUUUUCACAACUUUGACCAUUUCCAUCAAUUCUUAAGCUUUCAAAUACGAAUCUAUAUUCAUAUUUUUAAUAUUUAAAUCAUAUUUAAACAUGAAACUCUAUCUUAAGCUUAUAACUAACGACUAUAUCAAAUAUAUUUGUCGGUUUCUCUCUCUUUACCUAAUUCGAACAAUUUGAAUUAUUCUAUAAUAAUGUUCUAAGUUGGAUUUCUUGUGAAGCUUGUAGGGAACCUAAUGGACCUAUAGAUCAUGGGCUCAAACGAUCUGAGUUUAACUAGUUUAAACUCUUUGAGAUCGAGUCAAUCAACAUUUGUUAACUAAUGGAUCAUUCCACUAAAUUCCCGUAGUUGCACUCCCCUCACUAUAGAUAUAUUUGUGUCCAUUGUGAUAUAACCAUGAUAAGUAAGUUAAUCCUCCACAGGUUGUUCGUAACCUCGUAGGUCAAAGUAUUGUUUUACCCCGAAUUACUAUAUCUUGCUCCUUAAGUCCAACUGAUCCACUAUUGAACAAUUGGUUUAAGGUACAACCUUUAAAUUAAAUCCCUCGGAGUUAAUGAUGUUUAAGGUACAACCCUUAUUUAUGUCUUGCGCCCUAUGUUCCUAGCUAUCUACCCGGUUCUUUACCCAUGAAAUGAGAGGCUUAUUAGGGCCAGCGUCAUUGGACUGUCUUCACCUAUACAGAAUCGAAGGAUAAUUUCGUGUGAAUAAAAGUUCGUAGUUAGCUCAGGAUUAAGAUUAAGUUAUAUUGGAUAUCAAUAAACGAAAUAGUCGGUUUUAUUAAAUUCAACGAUGUUAUAACUUAAAAAUGACUAUUUCAUAGUUCCAGUCUUAUGUAAACCUUUUACAUAGGAUGCCCCCACUUCCAUGUCUCUACUGAACGAUUCAGGAUCACAUCGUUUGUACUAACUACAAAGCAGACCACAUCCAUAGUGUCCCAGAAUAAGGUGUCCAACCGUAUUCGUAUACUAUAGACUAUUUAGGGUAUAUACUCGAACUUGAUAACGUUAUGUCUCUACAUAAAGUUAAAAUUUAUUCAAUAAUAGCCUUAGGUUCUUAGUUUAUUGGCUUUAAGAUUAUAGUAUCAAUAACGACUUUAUUGAAUAAAAUAUGAUUACAAACCACGGGUUUUAGGACAUAAAUUUCAACAAACUCUGACUUGGACUAAAACUCCUAGAGGAUAAAACAAUGUUGAAUUUAAUAAUGAGAGAACUAUUAUUAUGAAUACAAUAAACUAGGGUUUUCUCCCAAAUUUUCUCCCACUUGUCCUUGUGCACAAACUUCAUGGACCUAAACUCUUUUAGGUGACCUUCAUACACUUUAGCCGUGAAGGACUUUGUAAACUAAAAUAGUCAUAAUUUGCUCAACAAGUAUCAUGGUUACUACAACGUCACUACGAUGCACAAUCACCCAGAUAAGGUAUUACAAUUUUACUUUACGCUUCUUCACACUUCUGCUUUCCACUUAGAGUGAAUAUUGAUUUCGAUAUACACUUUCUAGCACUUUUAGAAAUCAUAAUCAAUGUAUCCAGUAAGGAUCAGAUCCUUAACACUAUAUAUAGACAAGCUCGUAGUCUUUUGUUCUACUAAGAUAUUUUAGAAUAUUCUUAAAGGUUGUCCAGUAAUCACAUCCGGGAUUGGACUGAUACCCACUGACCAUCCCUGCUGAGUAGCAAAUGUCAGGUCUAGUACAUAACAUUGCAUACAUCAAACUCCCAACAACGGAAGCAUUAAUAUCCUCAACUUUUUGAGAUGUUUUAAGACAUUGUUUCUUUGACAAAUGAAUUCCAUAUAUGUAUGGUAGCAGACCAUUCUUAGACUUGUGCAUCCAAUAUCUUGACAACAUUUUGAUGCUUGAAACAUGGCUAGAGUACUUUUGUUUUUAAGAUUCUGAACAAUUUGGAUUCCGAGAACAUAUUGUGCAUCUCUCCAAAUCUUUCAUUUGAAAUUGCGUAGAUAGUCAUUCUUUGAUGUGUUAAGGUGGUGUCCCCAAUUUAGGAUUUUAGUAGAUUAAGAGGCGUCAAGCUACGUGAGUUUUUCAUUUUUUGUAUUUUUUAAUUUAAAAGCACACUUAGCCUUUUAGAAUUUUUUUAUAUUUGCCAAUGUAUCAAUAUUUUGGAAUUCCCAAAUUAAAUUAAGGAAUAGUUAAAAUCUUUCGCUAUCAUGCGGUGUAAUCUUUCGCUAUCUGUUUUUUUCCUUUUCCAGAGGGAGCGUUACUUGAUUUACAGUUCUUUUUAAGAAAUAAAACAAAACCAAAUAUCAUUCGGUGAACAUGCAUUAUUAAAAUAGAAACAAAUUUUAUAUCCCAAAUAACCCUGCAAACAUUCCAGAGUCCAGUCAACACAAUUUGUUGAAAGUCUUGUUAGGGUCUUAUUUUACUUCCCUGUAUAUUAAUAACAAACAAACAACCAUUCCUCGUAGUAAAAUCAUCUCUCUUAGAUGGCACUUUGAACAUACAAUCACAAUAAUCAUCCAAAAACAAAAGACACCUGUAAUUGUCUAUUUUCAAUAUAACAAUGCAACAAAUCUCCUUACAACACCACUAAUCUCUAACUCCCUACAUUUCAAAAUUCUUACAAAGCAAACACCAUUAUGCACUAUAAACAAACAAACAUCCAUUAAUCCUUCUCAUUCAUACCAUUUCAACACAAAGACGUUAUUAUUACUGGAAACAACUUUAAUCUUUUUCUUCCACACCAAUGGCGUUUCAAAGACUUAUGCCAUUAUUGUUAGUUCUCUUGUUGCUAACCUCCUUCAACGUGUCGAUGGCAAAGAAAAAAAAGGCAAAAAGCAAAACCGAGAAGCCAGAUUUACCAGAUCCCAACAAUCCUAUUGUCUCGUUCGAAAAGUUUAGAGUUGAAAUUCACAAUGACUUGAAUAUGUACUUGUUAGAUAGUCGUUGCUACUCAAAAGACGACAAUUUCGGGUUGCACGUGUUGUUCCCAGAUGAACAACAAAAUUGGUCUUUUAAAGGGAAUUGGGAUGACACAACGACUUUUCAUUGUAGGUUGGAGUGGGAAAUUGGGUAUUUAGAAUUUGAUAGUUUUAAAAGUGACCCUGCUUUUGUGACAGAUUUUUGUUGCAACAAAACUUGCAUUUGGAGUGCAAGACAAAGUGGGAUUUAUUUGAAUGAUGCAAAUAACCAAGAAAUAUUUUUUGAUUACUGGGAAAUGCUUAGAUAGGAUAAGAGGUCUACAAUUGAUUGUCUGUGGCCUUCUAAUUAUUUUUAUUGAAUUUACACAUUAUUCUAAUUCAUAUAUUUAUAUAUAUUGAUCAAUGAUUAUUUUUUACAGUUACAUAUGUUUUGUAAUUGUCAGAAGUCAGAGUUUGAUUCAUAUAAAUAAAGUGAUUGGAACUGUUGUUGAUGAUUUGUAAUGUUGAAGUGACAAUUAUUGUUUCAGUGGAAAUUGUUUUCCAUCCCAUAUAGUGAAUUAUUGAUAAAUUUUGAUGUUAUGUGAUUUGGAAGUUAACACCGUGAUGGAUGAAUUCUCAGCCAAACUUACAAAAAUUAUUGUCUCUUACCUUUUAUUUUUUCUCUUUCUUUUUUUUAUUUUGCAAAACUUACAAAAAUUAAAAAAUGAGAAUGCAUCCAUCCAUCUAAACUAGUCUAAUUACUACAUUCAUUUAGAAAUUUAUAAAUUAAUAAAGAUGAGUUAGAACGGAUAUAAUAUAUAUAUAUAUAUAUAUAUAUAUAUAUAUAUAUAUAUUGAUAUAAUUAGACUUUGAUAAGUUUAAUAAUAUUUGACAUAAAUAGUAGAAUGUCAAUGUAUAAUAUAUGCUCCAAAUGUAUCAAGAAGACCCAAAACAAUGGAUGAGUUAGAAAAUAGUAUAUUUAUUUUUUCAAUAACUUUGUCCUGACUAUAUAUAUAUUUUCAUAUGACCCAGCAAUUUGAGUAACAUAAGAUAUAUUAGGAUUCGUUAUUUUGAGUUGUAGCUGUAGAUUAUCCAAAUAGUAUAAUGAUAUUAGUAAACAAAAUCAAUCAUAGAAGCAUUUUUAAUUAAUUAAUUAAUUAAAAUUGAGAUAAAUGGUCAAAAUGGCAACAUAAGUUACAAGUUUGAUCACACUCUGCUCUAUAUUACCAACUUAAUCCUAAGAUGAAAUAUGACGUUUGGAACACAAUCUGUAUCAAAACUUUUCUUAUCUUUCAAUCUAAAAACAUCGUCUUUUAUAUUUGCCCUAUUGAACCAAUAAGUGGACCUAACACAACGUUUAUUUCCUAAAUUUUUAAUAUUUUGUUUAAUUAUUUUUUUUGGAAAGGUAUUGUAAUAAAUGCAAUGGAUUUGCAUUUGAAUUCUAGACCUUUUGUUCACAAGUAUAUACAGGUGCCAGUUGACAGUAGGCGAUUAUUCAAUUAUUUAAUAAGAGUUAUUAUUCUCAUUAUUAUUCAAUUGCAUAUUAUUGUAUAAUAAAUAUCCAUGAAUAUGUUAUUAUAUUCUAAAUGUCUCUAAUAAAUUAUUAUUGUAGAAACAAUAAUAAAUUAAGAUUAGUAUGAGUUAUAAUUUGAUAAUCAUAUACGUUGAUUAUAUAUGUAGAGACAUAAAUUAUAAUCAUAUUUUCUUAUUAGAUAACAAGAAUUGGAUCACUGACCAUUUUUUAGAUUAUUACAUGAACAUAUGUCAUAAAUAAUCUCAAAUAAUUGAUUGUUUUGAUUCUUAGACCUAAGAUUAUCAUAGUGUCAAACAUAAGAAUAUAUUAAACUUUUAUGAUACAAUCAAACGUUGUCUUUAAUCGGAUAAUUAGAAAGGUGGUACUCGAAUACACGUUAUGAAUUAUGUAGUGGACAAUGAUUAUUCAGGAUAGAAUUUAUCUCUUUUUUAUAGAGAGAUAUCUCUGAGCCCCUUGAUUAUAGAUAUCGUGUGAUAAAAGAAUUAAAGAAUUAUUAUAUUAGGUUAUGUUCGAUCAUCAACUUAAUUUAAUAUGAGUAGUCAUAAUGUUUUACUAGAGACCAAUUAUGACUUAUGGGCCAUAAAACUAGUUAUGAGCUCAUUUUCAUAUUAAAUUAACCUAAUGGAUCGCACACGAAAGAACUUGGUCAAAUUUGUCUCAUGGUUAGGUAAUUAAUAAGCCAAUUGGAGAAGUUGAAUAUUAUUAGGAAAUUCUAAGCUUAUAACUAUGAAAUCCAAAGCUUAUUAGGAGACCCUAGGAAACCUAUAAAUAAUACCUAGACCUUUGGCAUUUUAUUUUAUAGAGAAGCGAAAGACAUAAAUUUGUUCUACACAAAGAGAUAAUAGAGAGAGUCGAAUAUCUCACUUUGUGAGGUUCUAGCAAAUCUGAAUUCGAUGAGUCGAAUUUCUAGUUUGUGUGUAGAUACUGUUAAAGAAUGCUUGUGAUUUCUAGUUGUUCUUUUGGACUCACUAAUUUCGUGUGUGUAUAAAAUAAUUGCAAUACGUCACUGAGUCUGGUCAUUGCGCGUGAUGCGCUCAUCGUAACUCUUUAUAUAACAUAUGUUUUAUUUCUGGGCCAUGGGCCAUGGGUCAUGAUCAUAGAAUACGAAAUGCUCACAAUGUACCUCUUCAUCACGUAAUUCCUAAAUCUUUGAUGAGUAGAAGUUUUCCUACUAUUUGCCCAAGUGCAAGCGAAAUAGUAGGUUUACUUGGGUGAUCUAGGGUUGAACACAAAGAAAUUUUUAGAUGUUAGUUCUAGAUUUUAUUUAUUUAGGCGAGUUGAAAGAAUCAAAGAAUAACAAUUGUAGGAAUUGUCGAAUUACACGACGAGAGUCUAAAGGCAAAGUAAAGAUAAAGAUACAAUAGCACAACUAACUUGUAUUAAAGGACAAUAAUGCAACUAACUUGUAUUAAAGGAAUGAAGGCAAGAAUGUCACUAUAUGUUACCCUUCGUAUGAGUAGAGAGACAACUAUGAUACAAUCUAACUCACUAAGACAAACGUAUGAUUAAGGCAUGCUUCUCUCGAAGGCAUAUAUGUCACACAUAACUGCUUUUCAGAGAUUCAUAUGACCAAGUAUAGCUAGUUGAGUUAUAUCAAGAAAAGACUACUUAUAAGUUCUAUAGUAUUUCAUGAUUAAGGACUAGUACCUCUCGGUAUCCAAUGCCCACACUUGCCCACCUUUCGGGGUCCAAAUGUUAGAAACACUAUCGUGAAGAGGCAAAGUUCCUCCCCGCGUGCGCUAGUUAAGUUCUAGCUAAUUUUCCUUUUUGGGUAAUUAGCAACUCAUGUUGUCCAAGCAAUAACAAAAGCACAAUUAACAUGUUAAAACUUAUAAGUGACUAUUCUUAUCAUGACCUAUCACCUACCCAAACUACUUAUAACACAUUGACUUGUAGAGGAAGAGAGAAAUUGAAAUGAACAACUAUGUUUAUAUAAAACUACAAAAAAUGUAGGUCAUAGACCAAUAUACAAUAUAUACAAUAUGAAGCACAAAACAUGAAAGAAACAACAAAUGGAAGACAAAGCAAAUGGAUUAAUAUUACAAGUUAGGAGAUUGACAUAGAUAGCCUUUUUCUCCAUCUACACUCUUCAAGCCCCUUUCUAGCCUAUUCGGGUCCCCCCUCUUGGUUGGUGGAGACAAAAUGCUUGUAUAGUCUGCUUUUCGGUGGGAACUUCUAUUCCUCUUAGUGUGUCAGUGUUGUCACUUGGCCUUGUGAGGUCACAUCAUCCCAACUACCAUCCUUGUUUUGUAGUGAGCUUUCUCAUGUGAUGUCUUGGUUUCUUGCCUGGGGUCAUUAAUCGCCAAGCUAGUUCCGAUCGUGUAGCUUUUGCAUGACAUGUCCUAUGUAAUUUGCUCCUUUCUUAUUUUUCCACUUAUCCCGUAUUUAAACAUGAUAACCACGUAAACCAUGAAUGACACUUAUGCAAGCUGUAUUUCUAAAUACUUAUGCAUUUACAACACAAGCCACGCAUUCUGAGAAUCUUCUUAUGCAUUUGACCUCAUUAUUCUAAUAGGAAAUGGUUACAAUAAUGCUCAUUUCUGCACGUUAUCAACUUCGUAGUGUUUUAGUGAUACAAAUUUGGAGGAUCGUCCGCAUUAGAACAAGGCAGUUCAAAUUUGGAACAUCGAUAUAAAGGUAUGCUUAUUCAUGAUUUAAUUGUUUAUGCAAAGUCUGUUUACAUUCUAAGGGUUGGGUUAGAGAAAAAUUUGUUUUGUUAAUUUCGCUGCAUCUAGCCCUAAUUUGUUUUCCAAUAAUUCUCUCACUCUCACUAGAGUGCUGUGCGCGAUGAUGUUUGAAGAAGUGGGCGGCGGCUACUCUAGGGUUGAAUGGUGAAGGAGAAGAUGAAUAGUAGCUAUGGCACGCAUCACGAGUGGUAUUAAAUAUAUAAAAUACUACUAAUAAUAAUAAACAUCAUCAUCAUCAUCAUCAUCAUCUCAUCAUCAUCAUCAUCAUCAUCAUCAUCAUAACUCAUUAUAUCACCUCUUUUACAUUUUUCCUUAAUAAUUAUAUUGUUCUAGAAUAUAAUUAUUCUUACUUCUCCAUAACUCCUACAUACACAUAUCAAUAAUUACUAAUAAUACUUCCAACUUUACAACUUUAAUUCACCAACUAAUAAAUCCAAAACCAAAUUUUAACAAUAGAAUUUCAAUUUCCAAAAAUUAAUCACACAUCCUUCCAAAACACUUAAUCUCCACGGUUUAAAACAAUUUCACAAGUAACACCCAAAAUUCAACAAAAUAAAAAAUUAAAAUAAAUUAAUAGUUUUGCGGUGUUACAAAGAUAAUCCAAUCAACUUCCAACAAGCUCUACAAAGUUUCAACUCUAAAAAAA
RNAcentral lists this long non-coding RNA (45753 nucleotides) under Cucumis sativus (cucumber). RNAcentral's name for it is "long non-coding RNA (CSAT_LNC001865)". The record is from RNAcentral. Lineage: Eukaryota; Viridiplantae; Streptophyta; Magnoliopsida; Cucurbitales; Cucurbitaceae.